UACAAAGCUCCAGAAUUUCAGUUUUGCAUUGUUUCGAUUCUAUUUCGCGCCGAGCAAUGCUAAAACUCUUCUAACUCACUUGGAACUCAACUUUAACCCUUCUAACCUUGUUGGAAUGUUAAAUGGACUUCGUCCAACUUCUUCUUUCGCACACUUUAGACAAUUCGGCUAAAGUUCGAUAUUCUCUACCGAGUUUCGGUAUAUUACAUUCUCCACCCCUUAAAAUUAGUUUCGUCCUCGAAACUAACUCAAUCGAAAUCUAAAUCCCUACCUCAACUCAAAUCUUCAAAGAGGUGAGUAUGACGCUCUCUCAUUGCGUCCUCGAGCUCCCAAGUAGCUUCCCGAUCAUCAUGGUUGCUCAAACGGACUUUAACAUACGGGAUCUCACGGUUUCGUAACUUUCUCACUUCUCGAGCAAUGAUGUACACCGGAAACUCCUCAUAAGUCAUAUCCUCUUGAAGUUCGGAUGGAUCAUACGAGAGAAUAUGCUCGGGAUCGUGAACGUACUUGCGGAGAUUCGAUACAUGAAAUACAUUAUGAACUCCCGCAAGCUUCGGUGGUAAUGCAAGCAUAUAUGCCACCGCACCGACCCGCUCCAAAAUCUCGAACCGUCCAACAUACAGGGGACUUAGCUUCUCACGGAUUCCAAAACGUUUCACUCCUUGCAUUGGCGACACCUUCAAAAACACGCGGUCUCCAACCGCAAACUCUAUAUCUUUUCUACGCUUGUCGGCAUAACUCUUUUGCCGAGAUUGUGCCGUCGUAAGUCGUUGGCAGGCAAGGCGAACUUUCUCCUCCGCCUCCCACACCACAUAUGGGCCAAGAGCAACUCUCUCGCCCACAUCGUUCCAAUGGAUAGGAGAGCGACACUUCUUUCCAUUAAGGGCCUCGAAUGGCGCCAUCGCGAUACUUUCUUGAUAACUAUUGUUGUACGCGAACUCCGCCAUCGGUAAAUGAUCGCGCCAUCCGCCCUUGUAGUCGAGUACACAUAGCCGAAGCAUAUCCUCAAGAAUUUAUAUUGUUCUCUCAAAUUGACCAUCACUUUGAGGAUGAAAUACCGUACUAAAGUCGAGCCGUGUGCCCAAAGCGUCUUGUAAGCUCUUUCAAAAGUGAGAUGUGAACCCAGGGUCUCGAUCCAAUAUAAUAAACACUGGAACCCCAUGUAGUCUCACAACCUCGUCGAGAUACACUUGAGCCAAUUUGUCUCCGGACCACGUGGUAUGAAUCGGCAAGAAAUGAGCCGACUUCGUCAACCGAUCCACAAUUAUCCAAAUUGCAUCGUGUCCACCUUGAGAUCUAGACAAACCGGUCACGAAAUCCACCGUGAUAUCUUCCCAUUUCCAAACGGGUAUAGAUAAACUUUGCAACUUUUUCGCCGAAAAUCGGCACUCCACUUUCACUUGUUGGCACAUAAGACAUUGCGCCACGAACUCCUCAAUGUUUCUUUUCAUGCUCGGCCACCAAUAAUGCACUUUUAAGUCUUGGUACAUCUUAGUGCCGCCCGAGUGUAUGCUAUAAGGAGAUUGAUGCGCUUCUUACAUAAUCGCCUUUCGGAUACCCUCGUUUUUAGGCAUACACCAACGAUUUCUGAAUCGAAGUGCGCCGUCGGUCCCAAUGCCAAAAUCAUCGGCACUACCAUUUUCAACUUCACCACGCACUUUUUGGAGAUAUUCAUUGGAAGCUUGUAGCUCUUUUAUCCUCUCCAAUAAGAUCGGUUGCACAACCAAAACGGCAAGAGUAGCCGGCACUCCCAAAGCUACUACUUCAAGACCAAGCCGUUGCAUCUCUUUUUGCAAUAACGGUUGGGGUGUAAUUGCCGAAGCCAAAUUUUUUUCCGAUUUUCUACUAAGUGCAUCAGCCACGACAUUUGCUUUUCCGGGGUGGCAUAGAAUAGUGACAUCAUAGUCCUUUAGCAACUCUAACCACCGCCGUUGUCGCAUAUUCAAUUCUUUUUGGGUGAACAAGUAUUUAAGACUCUUAUGAUCCGUGUAGAUCUCACAAUGCUCACCGUACAAAUAAUGCCUCCACAAUUUUAGCGCGAAUAUCACCGCAGCUAGCUCAAGAUCAUGAAUCGGGUAGUUCUUUUCAUAGCCCAUCAAUUGGCGCGAAGUAUAUCCGAUGACUCGCCCAUUUUGCAUCAAGACAUACCCGAGUCCGAUAUAUGAAGCAUCACUGUACACAACAAAGCUCUCCCCCGGCGUCGAUAGAGCAAGCACCGGGGUCGAUGUCAACCUUUCUUCAACUCCUCGAAGCUCCGAUCGCAAUCGUCGCUCCAAACAUACUUCACUUCUUUGUGUGUAAGGCGUGUUAGCGAGUAGUUAUUUUGGCAAACCCCUACAUGAACCGCCGGUAGUAGCCCGUUAGUCCAAGAAAACUGCGGACCUUCGCAACACUCGUCGGGCGAGGCCAAUCUUUAAUUGCCUCAACUUUCUUUGGAUCUACCGAGACUCCAUCGCCCGAUAUCACAUGGCCUAAGAAAGUGACCUCCGAAAGCCAAAAGUCACAUUUCUUCAACUUGGCAUAUAGCUUCUCGUUUCGGAGUAUUUGCAGCACUGUUCUCAAAUGCUCCUAGUGCUCCUCUUCACUCCGCGAAUAGACCAACAUGUCAUCAAUGAAUACCACGACGCACCGGUCCAACAAUGGUCGAAAGACUCGAUUCAUCAAGUCCAUAAAUGCUGCCGGGGCAUUUGUAAGCCCAAACGGCAUUACCAUGAACUCGUAGUGGCCAUACCGCGUACGAUACGCCGUGUUGUGCACAUCCUUCGGCCUGAUUUUCAACUGAUGAUACCAUAAUUGGAGAUCAAUUUUCGAAUACACCUGCAACCCUUGCAACUGAUUGAAUAAAUCAUAAAUCCUUGGCAACGGGUAUUUGUUCUUGAUUGUCAUUUUGUUCAACUGGUGAUAAUCCACGCAGAGUCGAAGUGUGCCAUCCUUUUUCUUUACAAAUAGCACCGGAGCUCCCCACGGUGACACGCUCGGCCUCACAAAGCCUUUAUCGAGCAAGUCUUGCAAUUAAGCUUUUAACUCUACUAGCUCCGCCGGUGCCAUUCUAUACAGAGCCUUCGAAACUGGGGCCGUCCCGGGAACCAAAUCAAUGACGAACUCGAUCUCCCGGUCCGGUGGCAAUCCCGGUAACUCCGCCAGAAACACAUCCGGAAAUUCACACGCUACCCGAAUACUUCCAAGCUCCGGAUGCUCCCUUUGAGCCUCUACCAUUGUCGCCAAAUAGGCCACACAUCCGCCUUUCAUUUUCCUCGCCCUCGCCGCCGUUACGGUCGCCGCGAAGUGCGAGCUUUUACAUACGCGGUAUACUAACUCUUCUUGAUUAGGCUCACGAAAUGUCAUCACCUUGCUUUCACAAUCAAUAACCGCAUAGUACUUGGAGAGCCAAUCGACCCCCAAGAUUACAUCGAAACCCCACAUUUGCUUGAGCACUAGUAAAUCUGCCAGCAUAAUCCAAUCACCUAUUUGAACUGGACAAGCCAAGCACUCCUCAUGAACCUUAAAUGAAUGCUCUAGUGCACUGACCCACCAAUAAUCCGGGUUAUGCAAUACUUCCAUGCCUUGAGUUUUAGCAAAUGAUGUACCAAUGAAUGAAUGAGAUGCACCUGUAUCGAACAAUGCUCAAGCUCUAGUGCCAUUAAUCGAAAUAAUACCUGCCACGACAUCAUCUGGUACGGCAGGCUGCUCCUCCACCUGAGUGGCAAAAAUUCGUCCACUCGAUGCUCUACAUCCCUCCGGCCGACGCGGUGAAGAUGCGCAUCCAGCCGACAUAGCCGGUGGUAACCCCACAAGCUGUCUCGGGGACGAAGGAACCGAUGCCGUCGUCGGCACAGACGACGCCCAUCCCGGGCAUUCCCGAAUAAGAUGUCCUAGUUGUCCGCACUUGAAGCACUUUUCCUCACGCUGCGGGCAAGUCGACGGUCGAUGCUCACCGCCGCAAAUGACACAUCGGGAAGGCUUCCAAUUCCUUGUUUGCUGUCGGGGAUACCGAGGGGGUUUCUUUGCAUUCGGCCGGCCCCCGGCACCACCCGCCGUCCGCUUCUUGCCUUUAUCCCUUUCCUUGUCCAUCGACUCACGCUCUCCAUGAGCAUAGGCGCUAUCGUGCUCCGCCCAUAAUGCUCGAUCUAAGACCUCCGCAAAGGUCGUAAGCUUGAGAAUUUGCACCUUCUCGUAGAUCCUCGGCUGGAGUCCUCGCAAGAACCAAUCAGCCCGGUCCCGAUCAUCACGAACAGCAUCCGGGACACAAUCAAUAAUGUGGGAGAACUCCCGCUCAUACUCUCCCACGGUCCGAUCACCUUGCCUCAACUUGCGAAAUUUAUCUUGCAACUUCUACUUCUCGGUGUCGGGGAAGUAGUUCGCAAACAUUAGUCUUCAUAACUCCUCCCAAAGCAUAGGCGGAAGGUUGGAAGACCGAUCCCGCUUCACACGCUUCCACCGCACUUUCGUCGUCUUCUUCAAACAGUGAGUGGCGAGGUACACCUUGUCCUUCUCCAAGGUGUAAGUAUCCUCGAAGAGCGUCUCAAUAGAGUCGAUCCACAACUUUACCAUCCACGGCUCCACUUUCUCCCCGUCAAAGAUAGGUGGGUUGAACUUCUUAAACAUGACAAGAGCUGCCAACGGAUGCUCCCGCUCUGCCUAUACCGCCGCACUAUCGGGAUUUGAGGAUCCCGAUCCAGCUGCUAUCGCCGUGACUGGAAUAGCCGCUGCGGCAACUCCCUCACCCACAGUCGGCACCACAGCAGGGGGCGCGGGUUGCUCAUCGCCCACAUGAGACGCCACCGCCUGCCGUCACUCUAAGGCCACUUGAAGCCUUUGAAUUUGCUCCCCUUGUCGUUGCACGGACUCCGCUUGUUGCCGCACUACUCCUAUAAGUGCGGACAUUUGCUCCCGAAGCUCCCCGUCGCCACUUGCUCGAGAUUGCUCGAGUGCUGCAUUCGGCCCCUCGGGCAUAGACCUUGUUCGGGGUCGACCAAGAAGCAUUGCUUCCUGAAAUGAAGCAAUUCACAUUAGCUACACAACCACAUUACUGAAUCAAACCCAAUCCGGCGAAAGCACACAAGUGUAUUUAUUUUCAUUCCAAUGCAUUAUGUCGUCGACCGCCGAUCACAACACAAGGAAUCGAGAACAAAUUGUUAGGUCCUAUGUGUUGGCAAGUUUCGUGGGUCGAGUCGGAGUCUUGAAGAAGUUCAGAGCGCAGUAUUGAAGAUCGAAGAAUCCAAGACUUCGAAGAAUCGGAAAGGACGCAAAACACGUAAAACAUGAAUCACGAUGCUUGGGUAAGCUUUAAAUCAUGUUUAUGGUGAUUCAUACUUAAUUAUAGAUUUUAGAAUCAUGUUUUCAAGUUGUAAUUGAUUAGAAAGUUUCUAAGAGCUUGUAAAACCCGAAACAAUGCAUUUUCAGCAAAAAUUGCAUUGUUGUACCGGUACAAGGGUUUUCUGUCCAGGGUACAGCCAUCAACGUUGCGCAGAAAGUUUGAUGGUUGUUCCGGUACAAGGGUUUUCUGUCCAGGGUACAGCCAUCAACGUUUGCGCAGAGAAGUUUGAUGGUUAUUCCGGUACAACCUUCACGUUGUACCGGUACAAGCCUUGUUCCGGAACAAAAGGCAGUCUGUCCAGGGUACAAAAGCUUCGCAGAAAAAUCUUCCGUCAUGGUGUACCCUGAACAGCUUUCCUUGUUCCGGUACAAGGUGCUGAUUUUGGAAAGAAACUUUCUAAUCCUACUCCGUUUUGAUUCUAAAGUCUAUAAAUAAGCUAUAGGGGUUCUCUAACUGAUUAAGCAUCAUAAGAAUACAUGUUUGAGAAACCCUAGAGGCUCGGAUUUCAUUCUAAACCUAUUUUCUACAAAUUAGCCUCUUUAGAUCAAAUCGAGAUAUCGUUUCGCAUUCUCUAUAUGUCGAUUUGAUCUCCGCUUCGCUUGGAGUUCUAUUCCCUGGUUUUCUACGAUACUCCAAAGCGAAGGAUCACCAUAUUCAUGAUAUUCUUCAUGGUGGCGUCGUGGAUUCGGCGUAUUUGACGGCGGUUCGUGGAUUCGGAUCGUGGGCUCGUGGAUUCGAGUGGCGUCGUGGAUUCGGCGUGAUUGAAGCUUCGUGGAUUCGAAGUGGAGGCGUUCGUGGAUUCGGACGUGAGGGCGUGGACAAUCCGGAGGGUGGCGCGAAGAUUCAUAGGAGGUUAAGAGAGGUAGAGUCCGUGGAGUCGGUAAUCACCUUGUAAUCUUUUCUCUUAGUGAAUUAUUUUUUCGCAUGUUGGUCCCGUGGGUUUUUCUCCAAGUUGGAGUUUUCCCACGUAAAUCUCGGUGUGCAUUUUAUUUUCCGCAUUUAUUUUUAUUGCAUCGAGAUUUAUUUUUUUUUGGCCGUUACACCUAUUCACCCCCCCCUCUAGGUGAUAGAUACAAUCUAGAUAGAUCUUUGGGCUCCUCAAAACUUUCACAAAUAACAACUUGGAUUAGCCCCUAACCACAUUAGAGACUGACUAAUAUUAACCCAAUCACAAAGCUUUCGCUAUACUUUGAUUCCACGUCAUUCACGUUUCCUAGAUUCUUAAGAUUUUCCAUUUCUAAGGGUCUCUAGGUCCCUCCUAUACUUUCACUUUUAGUCUCUGAUACCAUUAUAUCUGUCACACCCCGGGACCGAUCCUAUUUGUCCGAUUCGGGCACGUAGAACAAACGCCGAACGACCAUCACCUCUCCUAUCCGCCCAAAGCUCAACAACAAGUACAAAUCAAGUUGAGAAAUUUGCACAUGCGGAAGCAUACAUAAUUGAUUUGCACGAGGGCAAGCAAUAGCCAAAGUGAAAGUACUAAGCUAAACAUUCAUACAAGUAAUAUGAUUAUCAUUUAACCACAUACAUGCAUUCAACAUUUGUAUUCUUUUACAUCUUUUGCAUCAUUUCUUUUUACAUCACAUAUUCCCAAAAUAGAACUCUUUACAUUCUUUCAUUUAAACAUCUAUAAUCAUCAAAUACAAAAGAUGAUAUAUGAAGGAUAUGCAACUACACAAAAUAUAACCAGAACGGGUGGUCACUGUCUAUGGCGCGAUACCUUUACCGCAAUCGUUGGCCAGCUCACUUAGUCCCGGCUCUGUGGAAAAAAGGGGGUGAGAACUACAACAAAGUUCCCAGUGGGUUCGGCUGCCGACCUCGCCGACUUUCUCACUAGGUCUAAAUCAGGCAUAAUAGAAGAAUAGAUAGAUAGUAACCAACUAAACAAAUGCAGCUAAUAUACCUGAACAAUAUAAUCAAUGCUAUGCUCAAAUAGAAUGCUUAUGAUGAAUGCAAGAUCGUAUUUUCAUUAUCCAAUCUCUUGCCUAACCCGUGGGUUUGCCUACAGCUCACCAACUCAUAAUCCAAGUCAUCGGGGAGACUACUACGACACGAUGGGACCGUCCUCUGGGGAACAGCACCAACACAGUGAUGACAACUGCGGAGGUCAUCGCUUGAGAGGGAGCUACCACCCUCAAGCCAGGACUUAUAGGCGAGUAUGAUCCAAUCCUUAACUAUAAAGAAUGCCAAGUUCAAUCCAAUCCUUAACUAUAAGGAUGCAAUGCUCAUAUAACCCUUAACUAUAGGAUUGUUAUGUCAUAAUAUCAUCUAUGUCAUUGCAUUCUUUAACAUUCACUAGUGUCAUUUACACUACAUAUUCUUUUUACCCAUUCUCUUGCCACACUUGUACACUAGCAUUCAAACUCAUUAAUGCCACUCUCUAUAUUUAUGUCAUAAUAUCAUUUAUUUUCAGUGUCACUAAGUCCUUUGCAUUUUCUAGGUUCUUGUCAUCAUUCAUGCAUACAUAGGGUUUUACAAGCUCUCAUUCUUUUACUAUCUUUUCAUAUGCAUUUGUACUCACAACAUGCAAUAACAUAUAGCCACAUGCUCUCAUUUCACCCUACAAUGCAUAAUGAUCAUAUAUAACCUAUACUCAAGAAAUGACACUUUAGACAUAAAAGGAAAUUAAUCUAUUUUGGAAAGCACCACCCACCUUGUAUGGUUGUAAAGGUGCUACGGUUCAAUUCUUGUGACUUUUAGCCGCCUAUUUCUUCGCCUGCAGCAAAAUGAAGCCAAAUUAGGCUUUUUGCUUAUACCUUUACGUAGACUCGUCGGAUCGGCGAACCGAGUCCAUAAACGAGUUAGAAAUAUCUCCAAUUUGAUUUCUACAAGGUCAAUUUGCCUUUAAACCAACCUAGGGCCAAAGUCCAAUUUUGGUGCCCUAACAAUGACAUUUGCCGAAUACCUUGGUUUGAUCUCUAAAACAAGCAAAAGCAAGCUUAAUCAACAUCUAGAAGCUCAUUUAGAACCAUUUAAACCAUUCUUAGGGCCUCUAAACCAAACCCUAAAAAUCCACCAUGAGAGCACUAUGAAGAAAUAUGAAUUUUCUUGUGUUUUUAUGGUCUCUACAAGGUUUCCACUCUUGUAAGAAUAUCAAAACAAAAGAUUUAUGGCAUAAAACCAAGCCCUAACCUAGUUCUUAUAAGAAAUCUUACCUUAGCCCACUAGCUCUCCAAGGUCCACCUUGUAGGAAAGUCCCCAAUCCUUCAAAAGCUCCAAAAUCUCCUCCAAUCUUCUCUAAUCUCCACCAAAACCACCGUAGGAAAGAGUUCCUAGAGAGAGAGGGAGAGAAAUGAAAGAGAAGGGCUCCUUUGGCUGUGAACAAGAGAGGAGGGGUGUUGGCUGCUACAAUUACAAAUAAACCCUCCAAAUAUUCAUAUUGGCAGCAGAUCAAAUUCUGCUGCGAAGGACACUUGGUACUGGUACUAGAUAUUUUGUCACCGGUUACACAAUUGCGCAGAGGCUAACCCGAGAGCUGCUUCUCUCGGUCAGCAGUCUGGUACCGGUACUAUUUGGAUUUGUCACCGGUUUAACAGCUUUGACAGAGGCUAACCUGAGAGCUGCUGCUCCCGGUCAGCCGACUGGAACCGGUACACCCCUGGUGUUAAACCGGUUACAAAGCUCCAGAAUUUCAGUUUUGUAUUGUUUCGAUUCUAUUUCGCGCCGAGUAAUGCUAAACUCUUCUAACUCACUUGAAAUUCAACUUUAACCCUUCCAACCUUGCUGGAAUGUUAAAUGGAUUUCGUCCAACUUCUUCUUUCGCACACUUUAAUCAAUUCGGCUAAAAUUCGAUAUUCUCUACCGAGUUUUGGUAUAUUACAAGGCUAGCAAGAUGAGUCUCACAUCACCUGGUACUUGUAAGUAUGAGCUUGAUGCGGACGUCAGGACUUAAAGAAUGGGGGAUUGUAAGACCCCAGGUAGUCCUAUAUAUAUGAUAUAAUAGAGCUAAACCCUUAACCCGGCUUAAACAUUUUGGGUAAUGGUUAGGCCCAAGAGGUUAAGAGAGUUAAGCGUGCUAGGACGGGAGUAGUCCUAAGAUGGAUGACCCGCUGGGAAGCUGGAGCGUCACAUAAAGAGAUAGUUUUUCGCUUUGUCCACUACUAAAGUAUAAGAUCUUUGUAAACUUGCUCGGUUAUUCAUGCAUUUAAUAUCAGUUUAAUAAAAUUGCAAGUUUUAUAAAGAUGAUCACAAAUUGUUAAUUUUAUAGGAUUGUUACUUAUGUUUUAUUAAAGAUAAUUUGUUUUUAGAAUGUAUGAUUUGCUUACUUUCUUCACUUGAUUAAUUUUAUAUAUUUUUCGUUGAUAGAACUAUUAAAUUUGUUCUAAUGUUUGUCUUUUUCUCUUGUAGGUAGUUAGUAGCAGUUUUGGGCAAAUAACAUUGGUAGCAGAUGAAGUGCAAGCUAUGAAGUUAUGAUACUUUUUUGGCUUCCUUUUGAAAAUAUGAUGAACUGCUAAUUUUAUUGUAACUUUUGGUAAAUGUAUAUAUGCUACAUAUGUUGGUGACCUUCACACAUAUAGUGUAUGGAUAAUUCAGAACUAUAUUUAGGGCGUGUUUGGUUCAAUGAUGGAAUUGGAAUGGAUAAUGGAAUGAGAAUGAAUUGGAAUGGUAAUUGGAAUGACCCACUCCGCCAAGACGUUUGGUUUAUUUGUAGAUUGAGAAUUGAAAUGAGUUAUUCACAUUUCAUUGUUUGGUUCGUAUAAACUAAAAAAAUUAUAGGAUACUAUAAUACUAAUUUUACUCUCGAAUAUAAAUUUAUAUUAUUUAAAAUCUAUGAAAAAUAUAAUACUAUUCUCUAAUAAGUUUUCCAAAAAAAAUAUCAAAUUCAUUUUUAAAAACUUUUAUUGAUGUGGGUUAGGGAUAGGGUUUUUUUUUUUUUUUUGAUGAGAAAGGGGUGAAGAAAAGAAGGGUGAGAUGGUCACAUCGGCUUCGAAAACUUAGUGGGCUUCCGGAAUGAUAUCUCAAUCCGGACUAGAAGACCGGAAUCAAGUUGAAGGCUAAUGAGUCAUUCCCAUUCCAGUCCGAAAUAGGAAUCCCAAACCGAUUCAUGCGAACCAAACAAAAUUAACCGGAUUUGAUCAAACCGAUUCCCAUUCCAUACCUAAAAUGGAUGAACCAAACAAGCCCUUAAUUUGUGAAUGCUAUUAUUAUAUUAUUAAUAAAAUACUAUUAUAAUUUGAAAAUGAUUCUUUUGUUGAAACUUUGGUUUUGUAUAUAUUUGUGAAUGUAAAAGAAGAUUAUGUGGAAUUUAAAUAAAUAGAAUCAUAAAAUCAUGAAAUAAUUUUGUUUUUAGGGACAGGAGAAUUGGUCGUUAUAAUAUCGUUUUAAAAUUAAUUAUUAAAUGAGAUAUUUUUGUUAGCGAUGAAAAAGUUGGUCGCUAUUGCAUUCUAGUUGUUGGUAAAAUUGUAUUGCUAAAUCUCAACUGCGUCGGUAAGAUUAGUCAUUACUUUAUAAUAUUUUGGUCAUUAAUACUAUUCAUUAACGACGGGAAGGUUCCCAAAGGUUUCCAUCGGCUUUUGUUAUUAACAGCUGUUAUAUUGAUUAGGUCAUUAAUGCUUUUAACGAAGGAAGCAAUAACUACGGUUGACGACGGUUUUCUUGACCAUCGUUUUUGUGUUUUAACAACCGGAAAUAAAUCUAUAACGACUGUUUUUUCCUUCUUUAUAUAUAAUAUUUCCUGUAGUAAUUGUUGCCGUUCAAAAUUCGUUUAAGAAAAAGUUUGCUAAAAGUUUUAAAAAAAUUUCCAACAAUUUUCUCGGGAAAUGAUCAAGCCUGGGAGCCCGAUUACCUGUCUCUAGGAUUCUCCUCCACGGUGACGGAAGUAGUAAGGCUGUUAAAGGCAGGAUUAGGCAGAUUAAGGUUGUUAUCCUUGUUAUGGAUUAAUUGGUUUGUGAUAGGUACGUGGAUUGGUGUUGGGUGUGGUAUAAGAUCGGAAGUUGUUGGGAUAUGAUUGAUGUGUGGGUUGUGGUAAAGAGGUUCAAGGUCGAUGUAAGGGAGCUGCGAUGAAAUUCGGAGCCCAUGAUACUCAUGAAGAAGUUUCGUAGAAUUAGUUUCAGCAAUUUUAUUGUGAUUUCUUGUUCCUUGUCCAUUUUCCUCUAGCGUUGUUGUACAAUUUUCCCACCGCCUUCCGGAGAGUUGAAACUUAAGUCAAAGAGUUUUAAAAACUUCUAUAAUUUUGGGGCAAUUGCUUAUAUAUCAUGAAAAGUUUUCAAUUUUUUGAUUUAUCCCUCUCAGAAGACUAAUAUUGAAAAUAAUUUUUUACGUUCCAAUUUAUUUCAAAUAUAUCCCUAGAGUUAAAUUCUGUUAAUAAAUUGUUAGUAAUAAUUGUUAUCUGUAUGAAAUUACUAUUUUGCCCUUUCAAAUAUACCCUUACACCAUUAUCGACUUUUUUUAUUUGCCUUUUAAGUUAGGGGCAAAAAAAAUAUUUUGAUUUUUGUCUUUUCAAAUAUACACUUCUACUAUCAUCAAUAUUUCUUAUUUGUCCUUAAGUUAAGGGCAAAAGAGAUAUUUUAAUUUUUUUUUAAACUUUAGUAGAUAUUUAAUUUAUGUUGAACCCAAGUUAACUUAACAGGUGCUAACUGUAGGAGUAUUUUGGAAUAACGGAGGAACAUAUGAGGGGUAUAUUGAAAAGAAAAAAGUAGGAAUAAAUGAGAUAUUUUCGAAGUUUUGAAGGGUAUAUAGGUAAUUAUUCCUUUAAUUUUAGUAUUGAAAAAUUGAUAAGACUUGUUAAAAAAUACUAGUCUUUGAAUAGAUUAGGUAUAAAGUUUAGACUGCGUUUGGUUUUGGGUAUAAAUAAAAACUGCUUAUUCUAGAGAUAGAUACAAGUUCAGAUAAGGAAUAAGGUAAAAACAGUGUUUUGAUGGUUAGAUUGCAAUAAGGGGAAUAAGAGUUAUAAUUUUGAAUUAAAAUUAUUUCAUCUAAUUAAUUAGACCUUUUUGCAUAAAAAAUCCACUAGUUUUGGGCUUUUGCAAAAUUGGGUCUCUUUUUUUUUAUUUUGCAGAUUCGGUCAGGAUUUUUAGUAAACUGGCAAACUGUCCUUAUUACUUUUUCUCUCUCCUUUUUUUUUUCUCUCGUUUCUUUUUUUUUGCCCCUUUCCGAUAAAGGCGGCGGAGGCAGGAGGCGGAAACGGCGUGCCUCGCCUCUGCCCCUCAUGCCCUCGUCCUUCGCCCGCGCAAUCCCCGUCCUCCUCGCCUCAGACCCCGCCAAGGCCGCGUCGCGACUCUCUAUUUUUUCUCUCCGACCCUCCUCCACUGUCUCCGCAACCCGCCACCGCUGUCGGCGAUGAAGAGGAAGUGUUUCUUGGAGAUGAGAAGCACACCGGCUAGAGGGGGAAGAAAACUCCGGCGAAAGCGGUGGCUAUGAUAGAGGGCAAGGGAGAGAUCAUGACAAAAAAAAAAAUUAUAAAGGAAAAAAAUAAAAAUAAGAAAAAUAUUUUUUUCCUAUAUGAAAAAUUAAAAAUCAUAUAAAAAUGAUGAAGAUAAUAAAAUUGCGCUAUUAAAAUAAUGUUACAUUAUUUUAAAAAAAAAUUGCACUAUUUUAAAUAAGCGUUGCACUCUUAGAGACAGAAAUUAUACUCUUUAGAAUCAGAUUUACAGUCUUUAAGAUGAAGUUGCACUAUUUAGGUAAAAAUUUACACCAUUUCUUUUUUCUUCUUCUUCCUCUAAUUUACACUAUUUUUUUUCCUUCCUCUUCUUUCUCCUUCUUUCUUCUCCUUCUCCUCCCUGAAGUCCUACGAAGAAGGUAGGAUGCGGGCCUCUGGUGGCCGCAGCAUCCGCAUCAGCACUAUAUAGGGGGAACCGCUGUUGGGAGCGGGGCGUGGAGCGGGACGAGGCCGCGGAGGGCAACGGCCUAGGAGUAAGGGGCGCCCAAUGUAAUAUACCAAAAAUUCGGAAAGUAAAUAUCGAACUUUAGUCAAAUUGACCAAAGUGCGAGGACGGUACACUUCGGAAAGUCCGAAGGUGUUAAAACGAUUAAAAGCGAGUUACGGGAGGUUUUCGAGAGCUAUAGAAUCAAAUUCUGCAAGCUGCAGAUUUUGAGCUCUCGGGGACCGGUCCCUGGUGGGAGAGACUGGUCCCCGAACGCGUAUGAGGUUAGACAGCCGAAAAAUCGGCUAAGUCCUGAGAAACCAGCUCUCGGGAACCAGUCCCUGCCUGAGAGACCGGUCCCCGAGAGACCGGUCCCUGAAGGAGAGACCGGUUGCACUGCGCGCAGCAGCGCUGGCUGCGCUGGGACGACCUUCGGGAACCGGUCCCUGAAGGAGAGACCGGUCCCCGGCUGCGCGAACUGCCCAGUUCGGGCAGUGUAAUGAGAUCAAAGCUGAGGGACUUAUAUGCAAAAAUGCUUUAUGUGGGUCAUGUUUAGGGCUGAGAGAGCCUCUCCCUCUCAUUCUCUCACACCCAAACUCAUCCCUCUCCCUCUCUCUCUAGAAGACAAAGAAGGAGAAGAAGAAGACAAGGAAAGGAAGGAAAAAAAGGAGAAGAAAAAGGAGAAGAAGAAGAGGAAGUGAAGAAACUCCCUCUCCCUCAUCUCUAGCUUGGAAAAUGAGGGCUUACAAGGUAAGCUUUGAACCCUAAUCAUGGUAGAACCUAAUCUAGGGUUUGGAUUAAGCUUGAAAUGGGUUUUAUGGAACCAUUUGAGUAUUUGAAGCUUUUCUUUUGCUUCUUUUGAGAUCAAGACCAUAGAAAUGGUGAAGCUCGAGGUGAGCUUCAUCACCUCUCAUGGUGAAACCCUAAGUAGGGUUUUGAUUUGUCUAAAGAUGGUUCUAAUGGACUUUUUAGAAGUAUAAGAAGCUAUUUUGCUUCCUUUUGAGAAUCAAAACAACUAGUUUGAGAUAUUAUUCGGAGCUAGGGCACCAACAUUGGGUUUGUCGAUGAGGGUUUCUAAUCACGAUUGACCCUACUAGACACCUAAUUGGGGUAUUUCCGAGCGGCGUUGGUGGCGCUCGAUUAAUUACGAAAAGUCUAAUUAGGAGAUAUGGCAAGAAAUGCCUAAAGUUGUUGCGUUUACGCAGUGACCGAACGGAGGACCUAUAAAUCACUCAAGAAAAUCGUCGGAGCACCUAAAUAAGACUCUACGAGGUGGGUGGUGCUUCUCAAACUCAUUGAACUUCUCUCUAUGCCUAAUGUGUCAUUCAUUUGAGUAUUAUAUACUAUUUGUGGCAUGCAUUUUAGGGUAAAGUAAUGAUAAAAAUGUAAUGAUGCAUGAUUUGUGAGUACAACUUCAUAAUAUGAUAAAAUGAGAACUAUAUAAACGUCGAAAACCCUAUAUGUAUCAUGAGAGAAGUGAGCACCAUAAUGAGCAAAAGACAGAGUGACACAAUGACAUAGAUCGAGUGGCAUUCGAUAAGUUAACUGAAAUACACUAGAGAUAGUGUGAGUAGAAGAACCAAUGUAUUGUAAAGAUAUGAAAAUGACAAUAGUUAAAGUUAAGGUAAUGUGGGAGUAAAGAACAUGAAAUGCUAGGGUAGCCAAGAAGUAAAGAAUGUAAAAAAUUAAUUGCUAGAGUUAGCACACAAAGCGAUGUAAAGAACACUAGAGUUAGUGUAAAGUCAAAAUUGAAUUGUAAAUCCUUUGAGUUAAGGAUAUGAUCAUACUUCCUAUGAGUUCCGUGCUCGAGGGCGUCGCUCCCUUGGCGAUGCGCUCCGGAGUUAUGCAUCACGGGUUGGAGUAAACCCGAAGGACGGUCCUAGCGGGUGAGUUUUCUGCGAUGAUGACUUAAUGUGAAGCAAGUUAAUGUGGCGAUACCCCCGGUAGCCUUGAGAUUAAAGAACAAAGAGCAAAAUAAUCAUAGAGUAAAAAUAAAGAGAACAAAGAAUUGCAUAAUCUGCAUUAUUUAAAUGUUGAGCCAUACUCCUUACUUUAUUGUUCAGGCAUAAUUAGCAUCAUGUAUAGAUGGUUACUAUAUCAGCUUAUUCUUUCUAUUAUGCCUGAGUUAGUCCUAGUGGGAAAGUCGGUGAUCUGAGGCCGAACCCACUGGGAACUUUGUUGUAGUUCUCACCGCCACUAUUUCCACAUAGCCGGCGACCGAGCGAGGCCGGCGAGCGAUCCGAGAGAGGUAUCGCGCUUUAGUCACAGGCCAUCAAAGUUGGGUACAUUUUGUUAGUAAGACACCCUUGUAUCAUCUUUUGUACUUGAUGAUUAGUGAUGUAAAGAAAGAAUGUAAAGCUCAUUUUGAGGUAAAUAUGAUGUAAGAAAGAAAUGAUGAAAUUAUGUAAUGAAAUGCAAAGAAUCCUAAAUGUAAGAGAAAGAUGCAAUGUAUGUGAUCUAAAAUGAAUCAUAUUACUUUUGUAGAUGUUUAGUUUUCCUUUCUUUCACUAAUGGCUAUUGCUUACCCUCGCGUAAGCCGUUUGUGUAUGUUUCCGCUAGUGCUUUUCUCUAUUGAUGAAAAUGUACAUGUGAUGAGCCUUGGGCAGAUAGGGGAAACUCUGUCCGCUCGGCGUCUGUUUGACGUGCUCGGGUCGGGCCAAAUUGGCAUCGGUCCCGGGGCGUGACACCCAAGUUCAUGGUAGUCGUCAGCAUGGUAGCGUUGGCGAGGAGGCGAAGCCGCGCGGCGAGGGUGUCGGUGCUGGUGCCGCCGCCCACGCCGAGCGCGAGGCGGAUCGGGACAGCGCCAUAGGAGUGGGCGAGGCGGAGGAACUGUGGGAGCGUGAGGUCGAGGGCGGAGCAGGUCAAUAUAAAGCGUGCGGGCUCGGUGCGGACGAGGUCGAAGCUAAGGACGGCGGUGCCAGGGAGGUAGGAGAAGGAGCGGCAGAGCGAAGUGCUGGGCCAGAGGACGGCGGAGUCCUUGAGGGGGCCCGAGGAGAAGGGGUGGAAGGGGAGGAGCGAGGCUGGGAGGGCCCUGGAGACGGUAGGGGAGAAGCAGCGCCAGUGGGUGAGGGCCUGGCAGCCGCGGAGGUGGAGGGGCUCGGCCACGGAGAGGAUGUCAUCGAGGCAGGCCGAGAAGGGCGUCUAGUUCUUGUAGCGCCGGAGGACGUCCGAGAGGUCGGAGCAUGCCGACCGGAUGGGGCCGCCGACGCGGGAAUAAAGUAUGAGCUCCAGAGGCACAGAUGUGGAUGCUAUUGAUGCAGAUGUAGUAGCAACAGCAACAGUAGCAGUAAUAGAGGCUGCAUCCCACCUUCUCCGCUUUGCUGCCGCCGCCAACAAGGGCCCGCAUCCCACCUUCUUUGUAGGGCUUUAGGGAGGAGAAGGAGAAGAAAGGAGGAGGAAUAAGAGAAAGAAAAAAAUAGUGUAAAUUGAAGGAAGAAGAAGAAAAAAGAAAUAAUGUAAAUUUCAUCUAAAUAGUGCAACUUCAUUCUAAAGAGUGUAAAUCUGAUUCCAAAGAGUGUAAUUUCUGUCUCAAAGAAUGCAACGUUUAUUUAAAAUAGUGCAAAAUUUUUUUUAAAUAGUGUAACAUUAUUUUAUCAGUGCAAUUUCAUUAUCUUCUUUCUUUUUAUAUAAUUUUAAAUUUUUCAUAUAGAAAGAAAAAAUAUUUUUUAUUUUAUUUUUUUAUAAUUUUAUUUUGUCACGAUCUCUCCUUUGCCUUCUAUUGCAGUCACCGCUCUCGCCGGAGUUUUCUCCCCCCUCUCGCCGGUGUGCUUCUCGUCCCCGAGAAGCACUUCCUUUUCGUCGCCGGCGGCGGGCUGUCGAGGCAGUGGAGGAGGGUCGGAGAGGAAAAAAAAUAGAAAUCGCCGCACAGCCUCGACGGGGUCGGAGGUGAGGAGGAAAGGGGGUGCGCGGGCGAAGGAUGAGGGCGUGAGGGGCAAAGGAGAGGUACGCUGUUUCCGCCUCCCGCCUCGGCUACCUUCUUCGAAAAGGAAAAAAAAGGAACGAGAGAAGAAAAAAAAAAAGAGGACAGACAAAAAGUAAUAAGGGCAUUUUGGUUAGUUUACUAAAAAUCCGGACCGAAUCUGCAAAAUAAAAAAAAGCAACCCAAUUUUGCAGAAGCCCAAAACUAGUGGAUUUUUUAUGCAAAAAGGCCAGUUAAUUAACAUCAAAAUAUUAAUUAAAAAUAAUUUAGUAAAUUAAUAAAUUUAUUAGCUAUGAAUAUGUAUAAGAUUAUAAAAAUAUUAAUUAAUUAAUUAAUUAUAAAAAUAAUUUAAUUUUUUAAUUAGUUAGUAAAUUAUUUUAGCUAGAUAAUUAGUAAAAAAUUAAUUAGAUUAAUAGAAAUAUUAAUCAUUGAUCAAUAUAAAUAUUAUUUUAUGGAUAAAUACAUUAAAUUAUUAAUAAUAAAUUAUAAAUAAUAAAUUAAUAAAUUAUUUUAUUAUUUAAUAAUAAUUUGUCGCUGAUGCCACCACAAAACAACAUCUUAAUUAUUUCUUUAUCAUCAAGCAUAAUACUAUUGUAUCAUUAUGUUGGUAGCCGAAUUUUCCGAUCCUUGACCCGGUCAAAGAUCCUCCUCGGGAAGCGUGUCGAGGUGAGGAAUGGCUGCGGAUAAUGACCCUCGAAGUUUGCGCCCUUCGACAUAUCAAGCGAUUCGACUGAUGAGGGAUGAAAUCAGCCGGGUUCGAAAACCUUUACUGUAGAAUCGGUUCGGCUGGAUGAGCCGAAUGUAUGAACUGUGCAGGGAUCAAUGUCGGCAGAAGAACCGAAUGGAAGUAGUACACAGUAACUGGUCGGCUGAAAGAGCCGAAUAAAUAAAAUACACAAUGACUGGUCGGCUGAAAGAGCCGAAUGCCUAAAUAUAUAUAUAUAUAUAUAUAUAUAUAUAUAUAUAUAUAUAUAUUAAUAAAACAGAGUGUGCCCGAAGGGCAUACAGACUCUGCAAAUAUGUAGUUUACANUAUAUAUAUAUAUAUUAAUAAAACAGAGUGUGCCCGAAGGGCAUACAGACUCUGCAAAUAUGUAGUUUACAACAGAGUGAUGCCCGUGGGGCAGACAGACUCCAGGGUUCUACUUAAAAACUACUCCUAGGAAAGUAGUAAAUACGAAAAAGAAAAGUUUACAUUCAUACUACUCCUAGAAAAGCGAUAAAAUUGUAAAGAAAUAAGGGUGGUCUUCUCGUUCAGGAGGGUGAAAAACUCUUAUUAUAGGUUUUGAAGUUACUAUUUAUAGUGAUGUCUUCUCAGCCCACAUUAUUGGUCGGUUGAAAGUAGUGGGGGAAGUGGUUGUAACCAUGAUCGUGAAAGUUACACCCACUCCUCAUGGAAGUUAUGCCCCAUCGUGGAAGUUACGCCCCACUUCUCAACCGUUCCCGCCUAGAACCUUCAGGCGCCUUAUUGCCGACUCCUGGUGUACCACGUGUACUUAUUGGCUCAUACGUGGGUUAGGUCGGCAUGUUAAUUUCAAUUUUGGCAUCAACAAUGCCCCCCCAAUAGUCCUUCGAAUGAACAUUUGGAUGACUAUUGGUGCCAAAUCGACUGCUCAAAUGACACAGCCGAGACCCAAGCUUUAGUUUUGCUGGUCUUGGUCGGCUUUAAGAAAACGACGCUUUAUCUUCCCAGCCACAUAUAUCUAGGCUUCAUCAGCCGAUUCUUUACUUUUAUUCGAUUGGUUCGGCUCUUCUUGAAACGAAUUUUUUUCUAUCAAGAAAUUCUCUUUGAAGAAAGUGGCUAUAUCUCGGCUUCAUCAGCCAAUUCUUUAUUUUUACUCGAUUGGUUCGGCUCUUCUUGAACCGAAUGUUCUUCUAUCAAGGAUUUCUCUUUGAAGAAAGUGGCUCUUUACCAGCCGCAUAUAUCUCAGCUUUAUUAGCCGAUUCUUUACUUUCACUCGAUUGGCUAGCUCUUCUUGAACCGACUGUUCUUCUAUCAAGAAUUUCUCCUUACCUUUGCUUUGAUUUUUAUAUCGGCUCCAUUGCAGCCGAUCGUCCUCACUUUCCUUCCGGAAUUUCUCAUAUUGGGCAACCCGAACAUCUAGGUCAAAUAGGUUAGAAAAAUACUUAUCUUGAAAAUGGUCUUUUAUCUUAAAAUGCAGACCAUUUAACGCCAUUUUGGCGAACUCUGAUUCGAAUAUCCUGACAAAGCAUCGACUUCUGGCCGUCUUGAAUCGGUUUAAAUAUUCUUCAACCGAUUCGCAUGUUCUUUGUUUAAAUUGGGCUAAAUCAGCUACCAACAAUUCUGGUUCUGAUCUGUAAAACUGCUCAUGAAAUUUUUCUUCUAAUUCGUCCCAAUCUGGGACGAAAUUAGCGGGUAGAUUCGUGUACCAAGUAAAAGCUGUCUUGGUUAACGAGGUGUUGAAUAACAUAAGUUUCAAAAAUGGGUCUGCGGCAGCUUCCUGGCACUGUGCCGUGAACCGUGCAGCAUGUUCGACCGUAUUUUCGGUCUCAUCUUCGAAAAACUUGUCAAAUUUCGGCAUUUUCCAAUUCGCCGGAUAAGGAUGCUCUGCAUCUAUGUUUGCGGGAUACGGGGAUCGAAAAACAGGCCGUAUAGCCGGCCUGGCCCCUACUCGAAGGUAUUCCGGAUGACUUCCUCAAUUUGAUCAUACAGUUCAUUGUUAUUCCCUUGUAUGGGAAGCGGAGCUUGUGCUUGAGCCGGAUUCGGCCCUUGAGGAACUCCAUAAUUAUGUAUUGCAGGGUUCGCUCCUUGCAUAGUAUUAGGGGCCUGCCCCCCAGCUCUAAUCCCCGCAUUUUGGGCAUGAUAAGCUGGUAAAGGAAGUAAACCGGAUGCAAUCUCUGACUGCGGGCCAGUGUUUAUAUUCGCUGGCCUAUAAGCAGCCUGGAAAUGUGCCAUUUGCAGUUGCGCAUGUGAGACCGCCAGUGUGACUGAAUUUUGUUGCGCCGGCGCAGUUAGAGGCCCCUGUUGCCCCCCGUAAGGUUGCUCGUUUUGGGUAAAUAACUAUUUGAUUCGAACAAUAUUUUCAUUAUAGACCAUGAUGGCGGCCAGUACCGCGUCUAAUCGAGCGGUACUUUGAUGGAUAUUUUGAUCUAUAGUUUGCAGGACUCGGAUCAUCUGGCCGAGUGCCUGAGUUAGAGUCGGCUCUUGAUAAGCCGACUGUCCACUAGUUUCUCCUUAAACUGGCGAAACUACUUGGCGUUCGCUAGCAUUGUCUGAAUCGCUAGGUUGAUCAUUCCCAGAAUUUCUAGGAACAACCCGAUUGCGCAAAUUCAUAGCAUUAUCAUCAGCCAUAAUUUCAAUAAAAAUGUGAAUUUACCUAAAAUUGGGUCCCACCGGGCAUGCCAAAAAUUAUUGGUAGCCGAAUUUUUCGACCCUUGACCCGGUCAAAGAUCCUCCUUGGGAAGCGCGUCGGGGUGAGGAACAACUGCGGAUAAUGACCCUCGAAGUUUGCGCCCUUCGAUAAAUCAAGCGAUUCGGCUGAUGAGGGAUCGAAUCAGCCAGAUCCGAAAACCUUUACUGUAGAAUCGGUUCGGCUGGAUGAGCCGAAUGUAUGAACUGUGUAGGGAUCAAUGUCGGCAGAAGAGCCGAAUGAAAAAAGUACACAGUAAUUGAUCGGCUGAAAGAGCCGAAUAAAUGAAAUACACAAUGACUCGUCGGCUGAAAGAGCUGAAUGCCUAUAUAUAUAUAUAUAUAUAUAUAUAUAUAUAUAUAUAUAUAUAUAUAUAUAUAUAUAUAUAUAUAUAUAUAUAUAUAUAUAUAUAUAUAUAUAACAGAGUGUGCCCGAAGGGCAUAUUGACUUUGCAAAUAUGUAGUUUACAAUGGAGUGAUGCCCGUGGGGCAGACAGACAUCAGGGUUCUACUUAAAAACUACUCCUAGGAAAGCAAUAAAUGCGAAAAAGAAAAGAUUACAUUUAGACUACUCCUAGAAAAGUGAUAAAAUUGCAAGAAAAUAAGGGUGGUCUUCUCGUUCAGGGGGGAGAAAGACCUUUAUUACAGGCUUUGAAGUUACUAUUUAUAGUGAUGUCUUCUCAGCCCACAUUAUUGGUCGGUUGAAAAUAGUGGGGGGAGUGAUUGCAACCAUGAUCGUGGAAGUUACGCCCACUCCUCAUGGAAGUUACGCCCCAUCGUGGAAGUUACGCCCCACUUCUCAACCGUUCCCGCCUAAAACCUUCAGGCGUCUUAUUGCCGACUCCUGGUAUACCACGUGUCCUUAUUGUCUCAUACGUGGGUUAGGUCGGCAUGUUAAUUUCAAUUUUUAGCAUUAACACAUUAUCUCACAAUAAUACAUUACAAUUUAAUCAACUAAAUUACGUUGUGAGAGUUAGAUUACAAUAAUUAAGAAAAUUUGAGCAAAAAAUUAUAAUAAAUAAAAGUUUGAGAACCAAAUGUCACGUGCCUGCCUCAUAAUUUGAAGACUAAUAGUGCAAUUUAGUCUAAAGUUGAUGAUUUUCUGAAGAUAUUAACUAUUAAUUAACUUUUAUUUUAAUUGUUAAAUUUUAUGAAACUAUUAAUACCUUUGAGGAUAUUUUCAAAAAAACCUAUAGUUGAGAGGUGUACGUUUUAAUUCUAUGCAUGUGCACGCUGUAGUCUUUUUUAUAGAAUAUAAAAAUCCCCUUAUCAGGUGACCGCUACCGGAUAUAGAAAGCAUAUAAUCUAUGUAUCAGGGACAUGUCUGUAAGCCACACGUGUCCGUAUUAGACAUGCGCAUGUUCGUGUCGGACAUGCGUCCGAUGAGAACACUCUUUUGAUGUAUGUUCAAUACCGAUUCAUAGCGCAAAUAAUUAAAAUAAUAUAUACAUAUUUUUAUUUACUUUUUUAUCCAUAUAUAAUAUAAGAUGAUAAAUAUUUUAGCUUUUUGAUGAAUACAUAAAAAUUUUUUGAUAAUAUAAAUAAAUUAUAUAUAGUAAAGAAUUAUUUUUAAAAAGAUAUAUGAAUUAUUAAUGAAAAUUUACUAACUUUUAUUUAUAUGAGAAAUAUAAUAGUAUUUUAUCGAAAUUAAUAUUUUAUAUAUAAUAAAUAUAUAUUAUUAUCUUAAUAAUAUUAUAGUUUUUCAGCGGUGUAAAUGUCGUGUAUGUGUUCUAAUUUGUUGAAAGCUAUCGAGUCGAUGUGUUCAAGUCAUGUCGUAUUUCGUGUCUCGUGUCAAUUUUCGUGAAAGCUAACUUAUAAGUUAUAACCAAUUAUACUAUUGGUUAUGUUAAUCCACAUCGUCUACUGAAAAAAUGGACAGUGACCAGAGUUAAAAGGUAUAAAAUCUUUAUUCUAAAAUUUUUUUUUUUUUUUUAGAGAUAGGUAGUACGUUACGCGCUUUGUUUAUUUCAUUUAGAAAUAAACUUAGCUGGAAAUGUGAAUCAACUAGAAUUCGAACUUGGAACCUUAGGUACCAACCACCAAAUUUUUUGCCACUUGCUCUAGGGUGGUCGGUAUUACUCUAAAAUUUUUAAGUCACUUGUUCAUGUACAUAUAUGCAUUAUUUAUUUCAAAAUGUCCAAACAUUGUUAUCCCGCUCCCAGCAGGAAAAAAAAAAGAAAAAAGAAUCACCCUAUACCGUGAUUGCAUGCAACUUGGUUAAGCCGGUUGCUUUAUUUUUUUUAUAAAAAAAAUCAAUUAUCUUUUAUUUUGCCGAAACUAUUCUUCUCAUAUGGGCUAACUUCAAAUACCACUCUAGUGGUUUCGCACUUUCUCACUUUCGUACUCUAUAAUUUAAAGUAUAUUAAAUUAGUAUCCUGUGAUUUCAUUUUUAUCUUUUCGUCAGUUUCUCCGUUAAUAUUUUGUUAAAUUAUGUACAAAAAACUUCAGAUAUCUCAACCAGAUUUAUCGAAUUUUUACUUUAGUACCCUUUAGUUUUAACUUUGUCAUUGAUUUAACGAAAAAAAUUAGUGAAAUUGAUAAUAAAAAAAUAAAAAUGAAACCAUAUGGCACUAAAUUGAUACACUUUAAACCACAGGGUACUAAAGUGAGAAAGUGUAAAACCAUAGAAAUGGUAUUUGAAGUUUUCCCUUCUUAUAUUAAAGGUUUGAUUUUCUUCUUAAAAUUUAGGGGCAAUUGCUUAUAUAUUCCUGAAAAGUUUCCUACUUUCUGAUUUACCCCUCUUAGAAGGUUAAUAUUGAAAAUACCCUUUCUACGUUCCAACCUAUUUCUAAUAUAUCCUUAGAGUUAAAAUCUGUUAAUUAACCUGUUAUCUCUGUAAAAUUAUUAUUUUGCUCUUUCAAAUAUACCCUUUCACCAUCACUGACUUUCUUAUUUGCCCAUAAAGUCAUGGGCAUAAAAAGUAUUUUGACUUUUGGUCUUUUCCAAUAUACCCUCCUAUCGUCACCAACAUUUCUUAUUUGCCCUUAAGUUAAGGGCAAAAUUGGUAUUUUAAUUUUUUUUUAACUGUGGUAGAUAUUUAACUCAUGUUUAACCGAAGCUAAGUUAACAGAAGAUAACUGCGGGGGUAUUUUACAAUAACGGUGGAACAUAUGAGGAUUAUUUAAAAAAAAUAUAAUAAAUAAUUUGAAUAUUUUUAAACGUAUGAGAGGUAUAUAGUCAAUUAUCCCGAAAAUUUAUCAUAAGCGGACCGAACCAGUACACGAGCAUCUGUAUAAAUAUGUAACAGCACCAAAUACAAGGUGAUGUAGAGCUAUAAUUAGCUAAUUAUAACCUAAUAAGUACACCGGCCCACCCAAACUAUAGUGUAAUCAUAAAAUAGUUCAUAUAACAUUGUAGAAUGCAACGGAAGUAUUCGUUCGUAUCUUUUGCGGAAGCGAUUCGCGCUACAACGCGACGAGCCCGGAUCGUAGAGAUUGAUUCACGUGUCCUUGGAUCGUCCUUGAAGGUCUUUUAACACUCCGAACUCGCGGUGGAUUGAACUACAAACGAGUACGAUCGCAAAUUCACCGUUCAAGUCCUUCUAGAAUAAUAGGUUAAUAGAGAAUGUGGUAUCUCUCUUUUUGUUUUCUUAUUCUCUUUCCUUUUCCGUUCUCUUUUUUUUGUGGGAUCGCCCGUAUAUUUAUAAAGGAUUCCAAAAUCCUAAUAGCGUAAGAGAUAAGGCCAAAUCAGUUAUUAAUCGUUAACCUAAUAUGAUUAGAUUUUAUCUCUAAAUAGCUUUCCAAUUUAAAAGUGAGAUUAAUCCUAACCCAAUUAGAUAUUAUAAUAACCGUCGGAUCGAGCCCGAUUAUGGGCGCACCCGAUUCGAUUUAACCGAAUGCCAACAUCUCCUACUCGCACAUGACGGGAUCGAUGCCAUCGUAACCACUUUCUCAAUAUUACACCACUAUUAAUUCUAUUCUUACAGGAAAAUGAACAGUGCGACCGCCGAGUAAACCUGCAUUUUGGGAACUCUAUACUAGAAACUGCAUAUGGCCAGCAUAGAGACAUCGACCCUCAAAAAGAAAUAUUAGACUCGUGAUGCCCUAGACAAUUUGAAUUACAUCAGGUUCAGCAUCUCUAAUCUCUCGAAGAGCCAUGCUAACCUCUGUUGCGCACAUUAUGACACUAUACUCAUAAUUGUUUCGCUAUGCUGAAGCGACAGAACCUGUCGACAAUGAGUCAAAGUGUCUGAAUGUAAUUCAGCUAAUCUUCCUUGAGCCCUCAUGCCAUCGAGUUGAGAACUGAUUGCUUUCCCAGCAAUGCCCCGUAAAGCCACAUCACUCAUAGCCGUAGGAAACAUGCCAAAAUAGCAACAUCAAUUCUUUCACUUAAUGACAUAAUCAAAAGUCACUAAGGGCAUCUAACAUAUAUAGGACAUCGUCUCAAAAUAAUGCCCGUGAGAACUCACACGAUGAGGAAGCAGAGAUCCAUUCACUCAUCUUCGUUAUUUUGUCGCCCAGCACAUGUAGUAUGAAAUACAUACUAUUACAGAAAAUCCAAAUAAGCGUAUGUCUUUCUCAAUGUCAUACGGAUCUUAGCUCAGUCACUCCCGGAGUGUCUAGCCUGAGUUCUCCAUUUGCUCGCUAUCUCAAGCGCCAAACGGUGAGCUCACAUCCGGCUCUUAAUAUACAGGCCAUACGAAUCAUGGGACUAUUCGUAUUUGGUCUCAUUAAUGACCUCAUCUUGGUGCCAACCAAGGCGGCUUCCAUUAAUGCCUCAAUUUUCGCUCGCUCUCUACAGCGCCAAAAAGAAUGAUUGCCCAUGUGAGAGGGCCAAUCGGCCUGCAACAUACUAUCAAUCCGUUCUACAACAAUAUAGAAAAUAUAUGCACGUGUGCUAAUCUUACCAAAUAUCUUUGCCAAAGUAAUAAGUUGUAAUUAAAUAACCAAAAAUAUUACAAUAAGAAAAGAUGUGUUCUAGGAUUAUUUCCUUCUGCGCCACUGCCUCACGAACAAAGUGAUACUUUAAGUCGAUGUGCUUAGUCUUGGCAUGAUAUUUCGGGUCCUUCGAGUAUGCAAUCGCUGCAAUAUUAUCACAAUAGAUCGUCACAGGAACGGAAGUACAAGCGACAAUCCUAAUGUCUCGAAGGAACCUCCUCAACCAGAUAGCCUCCUGAGCCGCUGCAGAACACGCCGCGAACUCCGCCUCAAUGGUGGAAAGAGUUACGCAAGUCUGUUUCUUACUACUCCAAGAUAUGGCGCCAUUGUCAAGUAAGAAUGCAUAUCCUGAGGUCGACUUACGCUCAUCUAGGUCACCAGCCCAAUCCGCAACACUAUAACCGAUGAGACGCAAAUCCGUACCUUGAUAGCACAGCACAUAAUCUAUCGUACUUCUAAGGUAACGAAGUAUCCUUUUAACAGUCUUCCAGUGGUCCAAUCCCGAAUUAGACUGAAAACGGCUAACCAGGCCCACGCAAUAACAUAUAUCAGGCCGAGUACACAUCAUAGCAUACAUCAGGCUUCCGACCGCAUUAGCAUAUGGAAUCUGAUUCAUCUUAUCCUUCUCUUCAGAAGUUUUAGGGCACUGUUUAAGGUUCAGACUCUGACGUUUAGCAAUAGGAGUGUCAAUGGGUUUGCAAUUGUGCAUCUGAAAUCAUUCUAAAACUUUUCUUAGGUAAGUCUCUUGAGACAGACCUAAAAGUUUCUUUGAACGAUCUCGUAGUAUCUUAACUCCGAGCAUAUAAUUCGCUUCACAAAUAUCCUUCAUCUCAAAAUUAGAGGACAGCCACGUCUGAGUGGCGACAAUCAUCUCCUUAUUAUUCCCGGCCAAUAGGAUGUCAUCAACAUAUAAGGAAAGGAUUAGAAAAAAUUCUUUGGACCGUUUAACAUACACACAGUGAUCUUCUUCAAUCAUCGUAAACCCAUCUUCAGUGAUGGCUCGAUGAAAUUGAAUAUACCACUGUCUGGAGGAAUGCUUCAAUUCAUAAAUGGAUCGUCGGAGCUUACAAACUUUAUGCUCCUCACCUUUACAGAGAAGCCAGCAGGCUGAUCCAUAUAGAUCUCCUCAUCCAGUUCUCCAUUGAGAAAUGCAGUUUUAACGUCCAUUUGGUAAAGUUCCAAAUCCAAAUAUGCGACAAUGGCCAAGAUUAGGCAGAUCGAAGCAAAACUUAUGACAGGAGAAAAGGUUUUCUCGUAAUCAACGCCUUCUCGUUGUGUAAAACCCUUUGCUACUAGGCGAGCCUUAUACCUAUCGAUUGAACCGUCUGCCUUGCGCUCAGUCAAUCAAGUCCCAGACAUGAUUUGACUUCAUCGAUUCUAUUUUCUCUAUCAUUGCAUUCAACCCUUCCUUAUGAGUAGGUAAUGAGAGAGCCUAGGAAAGAUCCAGGCACAUCAUCAUGUGCAGUAACCAUGAAAGCUUCCCUCUCAAUUUCAAAACAAUGACGGGAAACUCCCACACGUGCUCCUACGAAGUUGAGGCUCUUUUUCUAAAGGUAAGUCACUCCCACUAUCCCCAGGAGGUAUCGGAGUCGCCUCCUCUGCCUCAACUGAGCGAAUAGAAGCGCCAAUACCAGAGUCAUCCAUCUCAUGGAACUUAAUUUCAUUUCGAACCUCACUUCUAUAAGGAAAAUCCUCCUCGAGGAAUUUAACGUCUCGCGACUCAAUUUCAGUCAAACUUGUAUCUGGCUGCUUUCUGAUGAACACAUAUCCCUUAGAUUGUUGAGGGUAUCUUAUAAAGAUAUACGUUUUUCCUCUAGGACCUAACUUUCCAUGCUCAUGCGAAUUGUUGUGCACAUAAGCUGCCGAACCCCAAGGACGCAGGUGCUCCAUAUUUGGUUUCCUGCCUGUCCAUAAUUCAUAAGGGGCGGAAGGUACUGUUUUGGAGGAUACAUGAUUAAGAAUGUAGGCAGCAGUUAAUAAUGCAUCUCCCCAAAAGGCGAUAGGCAAAUUUGCUUGCGCCAUCAUUGACCUAACCAUGUCAAGUAAGGUGCGAUUUCUUCUCUCCGCUACACCAUUUUGCUGCGGAGUGCCAGGAAUUGUUAGUUGUCUGAUUAUUCCCUUCUCAUCACACAAUUUCUUGAAUUGUUUAGAUAGAUACUCGCGGCCUUGAUCAGUUCUUAAGGUUUUAAUUUUCAUAUCUAACUGAUUCUCAACCUUAUUAAUAUAACGUCUAAAACAAUCCAAUGUUUCAGACUUAUAGGAGAUCAAAUAAACAUGACCGAAGCGCGUAUGGUCAUCUAUAAAUGUGAUGAAGUAAAAAGCACCAUGUCUUGCCCUUACACUCAUUGGGCCACAAAUGUCGGAAUGGAUUAAAUUGUAAAGGAAAUUCUGCCCUAGAAGUUUUAUCAAAUGGUUUUCGGUUUGCUUUUCCCGCUAAACAAUGUUCACAUGUGGACAGGUCGACUUUAGUGAGCGAGCUCAAUAGCCCGUCUCUAACUAAUCUAAUAAUUCUAUCCUGCCCAAUAUAACCAAGACGUGCAUGCCAUUUAAUUGAAACAUUGUGAUCAUUCUCAGCAGAAGAUAGCAAGGAAAAAGAAACACUAUUAUUAAUAUAAUAAUCAAUGUCCAAAACCAUAAAAUCAUUUGACAAAAAAUCUUUUCCAUAAUAAAUAGUUCCAAGAUGAAUCUUAACUAUAUCAUUCUCAAAACGAAAAGAAAAGCCUAACUGUAGCAUAGCAAGAAUAGAAAACAAGUUCCGUCGAAUUCCUGAAGUAUAAAGUACAUCAUGUAGGUACAAAGUUCGACCACCUUGCAUGAUCAACUUGUAUGUGCCAACGCCUAACACAUCGACACUAGAAUCGUUCCCCAUGUAUACUCUUCUUCUCCCAGCAGGCACACGACGAUACUCGACGAAUCCCAUCCGAUCUCUCGCUACGUGGUUUGUUGCUCCUGAGUCUUCUUCGGCCCAGAGCAAUCACGAGCGACGUGUCCUAGCUGAUUACAAUUGAAGCAGGUCAUCUUUGACUUGUCCUUCUUACUACCUCGUUUGCUUCUCUUUCUUUUAGUAUUCUUCGUGUUCUUAGGCGCGGAUCCAGUAUGAUUUUGAGGCCCAGUAGUCCUUUUUCGCGUGAAUCCAAAUGUUCUGCGAAAAUUUAACUCAGCAGCAUUAGCAGUUGGAGUUUUAACAGCCUCAAGGCGCUCCUCCUCCAACUCCAAAUGCCGUGCAACAUCCUCAAAAGUUUUAAUAUUUUCAUUAUGGGUCAAAUUUACUCGCAUAUGUUCCCACGAAUUGGGAAGUGAGCGAAUCAUAGCUUGCAUCUGCUGCUCAUCAGUUAAGGUACCGCCAACCGACUUUAACUCGCGAAUCAUGUUUGACAUUAUUCUCACGUGCUGUUUCAUAGUCUGAUCGGCACGCUUCUUAUAACUGUCAAACCGCAUAGUCAGACUACGCAACCUUGUGGUCGAAGUCACACCAAAUUUUGCUUUGAGAGCCUCCCACAUUUCAUACGCAGUCGGAUACUGCUCACACUGGCACAAGAGAUCAUUCUGCAUACUGCUCAGCAACGUGAUGCGAGCAAUGCGAUCCUUUUUAAGCCAAUUAUUAUAGGCUUUCAUAUCUCGGCGAGCCUGGGCACUGGUGCCCUCUGUGGGUUGGUCCAUUUUAUUACUCAAGUUUUUCAGGACCUCUUGCUCAGCGAGAAUAUAUUGAAUUUUACGGUGCCAAAUAUCAUAAUUGUCACUAUCUAAUUUCUCGCCUUUGUUUAAAUCCACAACAACUUGUUUGGAGGCCAUUUAAUCUCACUAAGUUCAUGCAAUGCGCAGAAAAAUAUUUUAAAAUUAGUACACGAUACAUGUAUUCAAUUUUGCCCCAUCUCUAAUUAAAUAAAUUAAAAAUUAGAUCAUAGAUACGUAAAGAAAAAAGUCGCUAUGCUCAUAAUCACAUCACACACCAUAUGUCAAAUUUUUUAAAUUAUUUAAUUAAGAUGCACAAAAUGUUUGGGAGUAAAAGUAUAUAUUAUACUCUACCAAAAUUAAAGAUUCCCACUUGAUAAGGCAUGCAAAAAAAAAUUUAUAUUAUGCUAAAAGAUUGUAUCCAUACAUAAUAGAAAAAGCAUUAUAAAAUUUUAAAUGCAUGCUAAUAUGUCACAAAAGCAUUUUGAACCAUUGACCAUGCAUAAUAUAUCAUGAAAGCAUAUUAAUCAUUGAAUACGCUUUUUUUUAAAAAAAAAAGUGCAAAAAAUGAAAAGAAAAGACCCAAGAAAAUUUUCUGCAGGUCCGCGCAUGGGCUGUUGCCCCGCAUGCGGCCCGGCCUAUCCGGCCUGCGCAUACUGGCCAGCGCCAGGUCUUCUGGCUAGCCCGCGUGCGCGGUCCGAACGGCCCGCACGGCCCGAAUGGCCCGAGCAUUCUGCUGGCUUGCGCAGCUUGCGUGCGCUUGCCAGCGCGCGCGGCCUGCUUGCCCGCGCAGGCCUCGCACGCGGCCCGGGAGGCCGGCCCGUGCUCGGCACACGUGACUUGCGCGCGGCCCGCGCAGUUUGCGUGGAGCCUACGCGCGGCCCGCGCAGCCCGCGUGGCCAGUGCGGCGUGCUUGGCCCACGCGGCGCGCUUGGACCGCGUGGCCUGAGCGGCACGCACUGUGCAUGUUAGCCCGCGCGGUUUGCGCGCUGCCUGCUAGGCCUGUGCGGCCCGCGUUCACGCGGCCUGCGAGGCCUGCGCAGCCUGCGCAUGGCUCGCGUAGCCUGCGUGGCGCGUGGCUUGCGCCCGGCGCGCGGCUUGCGUGGCCCGUGCGGCGCGUGGCCCGCAGCCUGCGUGCGGUUUGCAGCCUGCGCGAGGCCCGCCUGGUUGCGGGGCUUGUCGCGUAGAUGCGGCCUGCGCGGCCCGCGUGCGCGCCCACGAGACUCCAAGCUGUGUGGUAUCCGAUUUUUUUUUUUUUUUUUAAAGAUAGUGAAUCUUCAAAAAAUCAUAACUUAUGAUUUAAAACUCCGAUUCAUGCAAUAAAUACAUCGAUGGAAAGCUUGUGAGGAGCUCUUCCAAAUCAUGCAAUUUUCACAAUGGAAUAUGCAUCACACAUCAAACAAGCCACCCCCAAAGUUUCGAUUUAGGGUUUCGUUUUUCUCUUAAAAUAGAAAACCUUAUCAAAUCGAACUUUGUAGAUUUAAUCUAUAAUAUAGGUGCUUUAAGAUGUGAAGAAAAUCAAGCAAAAUUAUCCACUUUUGAAAAAUUCGCCAUUAACGCUCACAUACAUGCAAGAAAAAAAUCUAAAACAUGAUAGAUCUAAUUUUAACGCAUGUAAUCUUGUUAAAAGUUGAUCUAGGGCACGAAAUCAACCUAAAAAGGGCUCUGAUACCAAUGUAGAAUGCAGCGGAAGUAUUCGUUCGUAUCUUUUGCGAAAGCGAUUCGCGCUACAACACGACGAGCCCGGAUCGUAGAGAUUGAUUCACGUGUCCUUGGAUCGUCCUUGAGGGUCUUUUAACGCUCCGAACUCGCGGUGGAUCAAACUACAAACGAGCACGAUCGUAAAUCCACCGUUGAAGUCCCUCUAGAAUAAUAGGUUAAUAAAGGAUGUGGUAUCUCUCUUUUUGUUUUCUUAUUCUCUUUCUUUUUCCGUUCUCUUUUUUGUGUGGGAUCGCCCGUAUAUUUAUAAGAGAUUCCAAAAUCCUAAUAGCGUAAGAGAUAAGGCCAAAUCAGUUAUUAAUCGUUAACCUAAUAUGAUUAGAUUUUAUCUCUAAAUAGCUUUCCAAUUUAAAAGCGAGAUUAAUCCUAAUACAAUUAGACAACAUAAUAACCGUCGGAUCGAGUCCGAUUAUGCGCGCACCCGAUUCAAUUUAACCGAAUGCCAACAUAUGAGGAUUAUUUAACCGUCGGGGGUAUUUUGCAAUAACGGUGAAACAUAUGAGGAUUAUUUAAAUAAAUAAAUAAAUAAAUAAAUCGAAUAUUUUUAAACGUAUAAGAGGUAUGUAGUCAAUUAUCCCUAAAAUUUAUCAUAAGCGGACCGCACCAGUACAGGAGCAUCUGUGUAAAUAUGUAAGAGCACCAAAUACAAGGUGAUGUAGAGCUAUAAUUAGCUAAUUAUAACCUAAUAAGUACACCGGCCCACCCAAACUAUAUUAUAAUCAUAAGAUAGUUCAUAUAACAUAAAGAACAAAACUCUAUUAGGAGAUAAAAUUCUCCUACUAAGCCAAAUAUCCACUGACACGUAGCCAAAGCUCUUUUACUAAGACAUACCAAACAACGUCACACCAUAAUCCAGUCGCUCUCUUUCUAUAUAUAUAUAUAUAUAUAUAUAUAUAAAUACCAAUUCUUAGUGCUUUUAGAUUUCUAAUCCUUAGAUCUCCAUCUAAGAACUACAACAUCAACAUCUCCGUCUAAGAGCUAGAAAUCAAAAAAGCACUAACAGUUUGGUACUUUUAGAAAUAUUCUAAAUCAAUUAUAUAUAUAUAAGAUAAUUUUUUUUAUUAAUGAGAUGAAUUAAUUGGAUCCAUCAAAUUCUGAUUCUCUUCUCAGGGUUUUGAGGAAUGACCCACUCCUGGUGAUCUCCCGGAGGGGCUUGUUGGUGAACCGGAUGAGAUUGUAAGCCCAUGCUCCAGCGACCGCCCCGGCAGUGGGGCCCACCAUGUACACCCAAAUUCCGGUGUACCGGUGCAACACGAUCGCAUUCCCCAGGGUCCUCGCGGGAUUCAUCGACGGUCCUGAUAUCUGCCUAUUAAUAAAGAAAAAUAAUAAUAUUAUUACUUAUUUCAUAUUAUAAAAAAUUUUUAACUUUUGAGAAAUGCUGAAUAAUUUAUUACCUGAUCUUUUUUAUUUAAGUCGCCCGAUUACUUUGAAAAAUUACUACCCGCGACAGACACAUCCGUACAUUCAUUCAUUCACAGCAUUCUUGUCGGCGCAAUUUAUUCACCCUCCAUUUCAUUUGAUAAUUUAUACAAUAAAAAUAAUAUAUAGUGAAACUUUUAAAUAUCGAUAUAUGUUAAAAAAAUAUUAUUAGUUAAAUUAUCAAUACUUUUUAAAAGUAUUGUUAUAUAUGGAAUCACUAUAUGUGAGGCCGCUUCGAUAUUUGGCAUCCACUUCUCUAGCAACAUGUGACGAAGGGAUAUGUGGCGAUCGUAACCCUCUACGAUUCCUACAAGAUCCUCGCGAUUGAACUCUACCUGCUGGAACCCUUUCUCGUCAGCUACUGCGGCGGCAGAGGAGGAGAAGGAGAGAUGGUGAUCAUUUUUUUUUCUUUUUUGUUUGUAAUUAGGCCGAGUGGACUGGAUGCGUUGGGUUGAAUAGAAGAAUUUUUUGUUUUUGAUUGGAUUAAGUUUUAUAUUUAAGUCUUAGUAGAUUUUUUUAAAAAAAUAUUGGCAUAAAUAGAAUACUUACAUUAAAAAUGUUUAAAAAAUAUAUCUUUAUUAUAAUUUAAUUCUAUUGCAGUGUUAUCUUCAAAUAAAUAAUAAAAUUUUUCUAUCUAUGAACUGGAUGGUUGAACAGAAGUAAAGAUAUGUGUUGACUAUAUAUAUAUACAUCUCGUACCGGGUGCAUAUACGUUCAUAGAAAUUUUCUGAUGCAAAUAAAAUAAUUUAAAAAGUAAAUAAUAAAAUUAAAAAGAAAUAGUCAUUUUGAAAUAGCUCAAAGUUCAUAUUGGUUUGGAACAUCUUUACCUAAAUUCGAAGCAUUUUAAUAGAAAAUAUAUAUUGUGUAAUCAUGCUCACAUACCCAGCUAAGAGCGCAUUGAGUAGGACAGUGGCUCCCACGGCCAACCCAGCCAAUUCUCCAAUCUGAACAAGUGAAAAUGUCACGAGCUUAAUUACUGAGGAAUACUAACUGACAAAUAUAUUUUUUUUGAAACAGAUAGAUAGUAUGCUACCCGAUUCGUUUAUUUCAUUUAGAAAUAAAUUUAGUUGGACAAAUUUUGACAUGCUCUACCUAGUCAAUUAGCAUUGAACAAUUAAUGAUCCAAAUAAAUAAUUUUUUAAAAAAUAAAGGGAUAAGGCUUUUGUAUUAAUAAUAUAUUAUUUUAAUUAUCAGCGCACAAACAGAAUAAGUACGAGUUUAAAAUUUGAAAAAAAAAAAGGGGUAAGCCAACUAACUGCAUGAGGCUUCUUGUAUUAUUGUUGUGAUUGUUUCAUGUAAAUGAAGAGUUAAAUAAACUAUCUCACAACUUUAGCACGACAGUAUAUGGUCAAACUUGAUUUUUUUAUUUUUUUGAAAAAAAAAUAAUAUACUACCAUUUCAUUCAAUAAAAAUAUAAACUUAAUUAACAAUAAAAUUACGGCAACAAAGCUACAGAAAAAUAAACAAAGAAAAACAGGAAAGAAAAAGUAAAAAGCAAGAAGAAAGAAGAGAGAAGAAGAAAGAAGAAACACCCAACCACAUUCCGAAAAAUUAAUGAACUCCGUGCCAAUCCCACAACCUCUCAAGCUCUCUAAAUCCCAACCAACAGCUAGGCUAAUUUUUUUAUUAUAGAAAAUUCGUCUCUUCCUCUUCCGACGCACAACCAACGAGGUGGUAUAGCUAUAGUCGGUAAUUCCUUUCUAUGGAAGGUACCCUACACUAAAUGUUUCGUCUCCCAAGGAUGAUUAACCAAGGUGAGCAGCAAUAUUGCGCCCUUGCUGACAAGACACUUCAACAGCACUUUAAUAGCUGCAUAGUGGACAAGCAGAUGGUCUAUUAUCUCUGAAUCUUCGGAAUAGAGUGUUAGUUAUAUGCCCAAAAGUAAAUCUGUUGACACUGGCUAAACGGUAUUUAUGUAUUAAUCAUUUAUAACUCAUAAUAUAAUUAUAGAUAUUUUAUUCAUGUUUAUUGUAUAGUAGUGCAAUAUUGACGUGAGUCGUCCAUGUAUAGAGUUUUUAUUUGAAAAGACAUAUUUCUAAAAGUUAGAAAUUUAAGAUAUAUACUUUUCUGUACGAUAAUCUUUAAAUGCUCCUAACUAGAGAAAUAUUAUAAGGACGGUGAUAUUCUGGAUAGAGCGGUGUAUGUUAUUUUCUAAUUGAGGUGACGAAUUUGAAGUCACUACUGUAGGGACAUUAGAACAAGCACACAAGUGCUUGUUAGAGAACAAGUACACUGAGCGUGACCAUUUAGUUGAACAGUCACAUGGUUCCAUACUCGUCAGUGACAAGUUCAUUGCUAUAGUUGUGUGAAGUACUCCUCAAACCUAAGGUAUCAUAGUUGUUUCACAUAUAGGUUGCUACUGUUUGAUAGUAUUAGUAUUAGUAUUUAGAUUCUAGACACAGGUUUAUAUUCGGUACUGAUUAGCUGUAGUUGUAGUACACUGAACUUUAGCAAAUUGUAAGAUUCUAGUGUAAGAAUAGUGUUUUAUACUAUUAUGCAUGUUUUGAGGGUUGUCUAUGUGGUUUCUGCCUGUUUCUGGAGCUUAUUAGGCACGAGAACGUACUCUCGACAUCAAAAUCUGCAAAGUGCAAAUUUCAGUGUUGAGUACUGAUACUAGAGAUUGGUACCGGUACCCUGUACAGUGCCGAAAUAGGUUGCUCUCAGAUUUGAGAUUUGGGGUGUUGAGUACCGGUACUGGGUGUUGAGUACCGGUACUGCAUCGCACGAGUACCGGUACACCGUAUUAAACCCGAAUGUUUUGCGCUCGGGUUCUGUAUGCCUGAGGGCCAGGUACCGGUACUCCCAUUCGAGUACCGGUACUCAAUGCAGAAAACUGCAGUUCGUGCAGUUUAUAAUUUUUGAAUUUUUAUGGGGUCUUAAGAGAAUUGUUACAUCAGGUAUAUGACUCCCCCUUUCCCCCACAUGCCUCCCUUUGUUCUGAGGCUUGAGAGAGCUGGAGGUUGGUUUUUCUUCAUUUCUCUUUUUAGGAUUUCUUCCUCAAACUCUUUUAGAUAUGGGUUUUGAUCACUUUUCUUCUUCCUUUGUAUGGUGGCUAGCUACUUGAUCCUUAAAGGAGGCUUGGAAGUGAAGAAGAGAGUUUGUUUGAGAAUAUAACUCCAACUCUAACUUGGUUUAGAGCUUUCUUUAAGGUUAGUACUUUUCUUGCAACAUUUACUUGUGAAUUUUGCAAGAUUUGUAGAUGAAGACCUAGUUUUGAAAAAACUAGGGUUUAUUUUGGAGUUUCUUGAUUUUGAACCUUUGGAGUUAAAUUGAUGAGUAUAGAACUCUCUUUUAGGUUGGAUUUAAAAAUUUGUAGCUUCGAUUUGGACUUUGGAUAAGUUCUUCUUGGGUAAAAGUAUUUUUUGACCUAUUUUAGACUUAAUUUUUGAUUAUUUUCGUGAGAGGUUUGUCAGAAGCUUGUAACUCUCUUAGAAAUUCUCUUAGGAUACUAGAAGCUUGGUGAACAAUUUCAUUCGAAGGAACGAAAUGCUUUGAAGGGUAUCCAGUCGGUUUGACCUCGCCGAAAUGGGUGAACUCCCUCUAUAUCUUUAACAUUGUUUUUAGACCUAAUUAGAUGCAUAUUCAUACUAGAUAUGACGUGAGAGAAUUUUUGAAUACAUGCUUCAUAUAUGUUAUGUAUAGAAAUUUUUAUGCUCUAUGAAGUAGAGACUUACAAUGUGGACAUAUAUAUUAAAUAGUAUAUUAUGAUGAUUCCUCUUAUCCUAUGGAUUAUACGUAGUGAGAACGGAAUAGAAAGGGGUUAAGCUUGCAUGAUAACCAAUAUACUUGUUAUAAACAAGGUGAAUGUGAUAUAGUGCAUGGUAGUGACAAAACAUGAAACUAAGUAUGUUAUACUUAACCUAGUUGAACAAGUAGAACUUGACAUUGUGACAUAAUAUUCGAUCUCUAGAUCGCUAGUUGACAUUCCCUAUUUUAGACAUGAUGAACAAGAUCCUUAUGUUGUUGAUCACGGUUGCUUGCCAUUGUGCUCAUUCGCACAAGCUUGUGAGGGUUCCUACAAGCCAGCAUUCCGGAGUUGGCCUAUGCGAUAUCAUGCUUGUCCGUGCAGGAUUGGGCGUCAAAGUGGAUUGCCAUGGGCGAGGCUCAUUCCUAGCGUAGGAAUGAUGACUACCAUGGGCCAUUAGGCACAGCACAAGCCGGGACUUUACCUUGUGUAAGUUCUUGUUGAUUUGGAUAACUAUAAUCAAACUUAAUAUAGACUUCACUACUAGAUAGUGCUUGACAUUUGGACAUAUACAUUAGUCGCAUUUUUGUUCAUUUAUAUGAUAGAACAGUUUCAUACAUGUUAAAUAACAUUGUUAUUUGGAGGCAUAGUAGUAUAUGAAUUCCUUUAAUUCUUGCAAGUAAUCAUGUUAUAAUAUUAGUAUUCCUACUCUUACCUCAGUUGACCUAAUGGUGUAAUUCGCGUUUCUCGGCGGCUUACCCACUGGGAACUAUUGUUUAAUAGUUCUCACCCCUAUGUAUUUGUUGCUUUUGUUUCAGAGCCUUCCACAGUGGGUGAGGCUCGGGAUCGCGGCAAGGGAGUCAUGACUAGCUAGAUCGUUGGGAGAUAUAUUUAUAGGCAGACACCUUUAUUUUUGUUUUAGUUGGGAGAGGUGUUGCGAUCUAUUUUGUAUAGAAACCACCAUACGAAUGUGUGAUGUAUUCUUUUGGAUUAUACCUUGGUGUAUUUUUUGGAUAGUUGCUUUCUUUAUUGUAUUACUUGUUGUUAUAUUCUAGUUGUAGUUUAUUUGCUCAGUUUAGCACUUAUGCUCUAAUUACCAUGCUAGGACUUUAUUCCUUGUCAUUUUCAUUGAAUGCUUUAAUGUAGACGCCUUGUGUCCACUGGAGAUGCCUUGUGCAUACGGCGGGUCUGUGCACGUGCCGGGUAGGAUCCGCUGGGAUCCGGGUGUGACAGAUUAUAUUGGUAUCAGAGCCUAGGGUUGAGUCUUAGUGGACCUAGAAAAUCUUACGCCGGUUGGACUAUAAGAAAUAGGUUCGUGAGAGACGGGAUCUAUCUAAUUUUUGAGCAAAAGUAUAUUGAUUGGGUUAUAACUUUAACUCCAAACGGUUGGGGUUUGAUUGAAAUGUGCAACUACUAACACCUUGGAAGGUCACGUUGGCGGCUGACAACGUGACAUUGGAGAUUAGUUGAAGGGCUCACUUCACUACUUUCGCAUGAUUGGGGCUUUGCUCCUAUGAGUGGGGUUGCGUUGGCGUGGGUUUUACUAACUUGCGCAUUGUUAUCUUUGUUGUAGCUUGCGAUGCCAACGACUCGCUCUAGGUCAACCGGGGCGAAUGAAGCGGCUAAUUUUGAGCAGGUGGAAACCUCCGCUACCUCCGGAUCGAGUGAGGUCCGUGAGUUGAGAGACCAGUUAGCUUCAUUGGCGGACUUGGUAGCGCAGCAAUCCGCGGCGGCUCUCCAACAAGUAGAAGUAGCGUGCCGACAUGAGGCAAGGAUGAAGCGGUUGGGGGACUUGCUACUUUAGCAGGCUGUUACCAGGGUGAUCCAGGAUCCACCACCGCCAACGCUGGCAGUUGAUGCGACCACGAGGUCACAAUCACCAGUGCCUGGCACUUCCUGUGCAGCGCAGAGUAUCGAGCCUGGGAAGGAGGUAGUAGUGACACCGCCAAUUCAGAUGCCCACGGCAAGGACAGUUUUCCCUAUGAUGGUAUCUGGAGAGGAGCGGGACCGAUUGAUGGAUCGCCUUAAUGAAUUCUAGAGGUGCAAUCCCCGGAUCUUUAACGGAAAAAGGGCAGACCAUUAGAUAGUAAAGAAGUGGUUGAUGCACAUGAAAAAGUUAUUUUAUGAUACCUUUGUCGAGGAGCGGGAUAGGGUUCGGCUCUCCACCCACUACUUGGACGGCAAGGCCUAUCGAUGGUGGACGGACAUUAGCGAUGAUCCCAACACCGACUUUACGAUAAUUAUUUGGAAGCGGUUCAACAAACUGUUGCUAUCGGCGUACUUCCCGCAAAGCGUCAAGCUACAAAUGGAGAGAGACUUGCACAGUUUGCGCGAGGGGGAUCGGACUGUGGCAGAGUAUGAGCGAGAGUUCUCCCUACUCCUGCAUUGUGUGCCCUUUGUAGUGAGAUAUGAUGAGGAUAAAGCCCGUAUCUUUGAGGUGGGUUUUUGACCGUCGAUAUUCAGAUUUGUUCAGUCGUUAAAUUUACAAACCUACCGAGAAGUGGUGAACCGCGUGCUUAUUGUGGAGAAAGGCGCGGAGAUUACCAAGGAACAAAGGGAAACUUUUGAGCAAGGGGAAGGAAAGAGGUAUGCGGCCGAGGGUAGCAACCAGACGCACUCUAAGAGGCCGCCGAAGCACCCGAGGAACCAGUCUCGAGGGCGUGGCUCUAUUGCGACGUGAGAAGCAUCGGAUUAUCGCCGGGCAUCGCGUUGUACGAUCUAUGGUGGUCCUCACUUCCCACCGCAGUGUCCACAGCGUGGGGGCAAGUGCUUUCUUUGUGGCCAGAAGGGCCAUUUCCGUUUUGAGUGCCUUAGGGGUUCUAUUCCAGCGCCGUCAUCUACGUUAGCAUUUGCUUCACCGGCUCUAAGCCAUGGGACUCCAUCGACCCAUUAUCAGACGGGACGAUCGCCGGUUCAGCGACAGGUUGAGGGUUCGCGACAGGCAACGAGUGGGCGUAUGUAUGUUGCCUAGACUGCGGAGGCAGCAGCAGCGGAGGAGGUCGUUGCAGGUAUCAUUUUAAUUAAUAACAUCAGAGUUCAUGCAUUAUUUGAUACCGGUGCAUCAUAUUCAUUCAUUGAUCGGCUAUUUGUCGAGCUGCAUGGCAUUGAACUUGUACCUACCUUACAUCCGGGACGAGUUAUUAUACCCGAUCAUAUCUUGGACAUUCGGGAGUUUUGCCCUAGUUGCUCUAUUAGGGUAGGGGAUUGGAUUAUGCUUAUUGAUCUUUUAGCUCUAGACAAAUUUGGAGAGUUUGAUGUGGUUUUGAGCAUGAAUUGGCUUACGAAAUAUUAUGCCACUAUCGACUGUAAGAAUCGGAUUGUAAUAUUACAUGAACUGGGUCAUGAUGAGGUCGUGUACAGGGGCUGUAAGAGUUCAUUGUUUGCGAUGACUAUAUCUUCUGCGCGGGCUAAGCAGUUGAUUAAGAGUGGUUGUGUAGCCUUUUUGGCUAGCAUCGUCAUAAGGGAUGGAGAUAUCCUUAGGAUUGAGGAUAUUCCGAUUGUGCGGAAAUUUGUGGAUGUUUUUCCGGCUGAGUUACCGGAUAUGCCUCCUGAUAGGAAGAUUGAAUUUGUGGUAGAUCUUGUCCUUGGCACUACCCCAAUCUCAAAAGUACCUUGUAUGAUGGCACUCGCCGAAUUGAAGGAGCUGAAUGCACAAUUACAGGAUUCGUUGGAGAAGGGUUUUAUUAGACCGAGUCAUCGCCUUGGGGAGCGCCGGUUUUGUUUGUUAAGAAGAAGAAGAGAUCACUUCGACUAUGUGUGGAUUAUCGUGAGCUUAAUAAGGUCACGAUUAAGAAUAAGUAUCCAUUACUGAAGAACGAUAAUUUAUUUGAUCAACUUCAAGGAUCAAGAGUGUAUUCCAAGAUUAAUUUGUAAUCUGGGUACCAUCAGCUCAAGAUCAAGUCUGAGGAUGUUCCAAAAACGACUUUUCGAACACGGAAUGGACAUUAUGAGUUUACCGUUAUGCCGUUUGGACUUACUAAUACCCCAACAGCUUUUAUGCAUUUAAUGAACCGUGUCUUUAAGCCAUAUUUAGACAGAUUUGUCGUGAUAUUUAUCGACGACAUCUUAGUGUAUUCCCGAAGCUACGAGGAGCACGAGGAUCAUUUUGGGCAAGUGCUGUAGGUGCUUCGUGAAAGAAAGCAUUUUGCUAAGUUGAAGAAAUGUAAGUUUUGGCUCGGCGAAGUAGCAUUCUUGGGACAUGUAGUUUCGGGAGCUGGUAUAGCGGUGGAUCCUAAGAAGAUCGAAGAGAUUAAGGAUUGGCCUAGACCAACGAAUGUUACUGAGAUACAGAGUUUUCUCGGUUUAGCUGGGUACUACCAAAGGUUUGUUGAGGUAUUUGCUAAGUUAUCUACUCCCCUCACAAGGCUCACACAUAAAAGAACCAAGUUUAUUUGGAAUGAUGUGUGUGAAAGGAACUUCUUGGAGUUGAAGGAGCGUUUGACAACCGCCCCGAUUUUGACCCUACUGGUUUCGGGAGAAGGAUAUGUGAUUUAUAGUGAUGCUUCACUUAAUGGUUUGGGUUGUGUUUUGAUACAGGAUAGAAAGGUGAUAGCUUAUGCCUCUCGCCAACUGAAGGAUUAUGAAAAGAACUAUCCGACGCAUGAUUUGGAAUUUGCGGCCGUAGAUUUUGCUUUAAAACUAUGGCAUCAUUAUCUUUAUGGCAAACGAUGUAAAGUUUAUACGGAUCCCAAAAAUACAAAUUUUCACUCAUAAAGAGUUGAACUUGAGGUAGCGAAGAUGGUUGGAGCUACUCGAGGACUAUGAUUUGACUAUCCUCUACUACUCACGUAAAGCUAAUGUAGUGGCGGAUGCCCUUAGUCGCAAAUCAAUAGAAAAUUUAGCAAUGUUGAUUGUUACUCAGCCACCGUUACUAGCAGACUUGAGAUGGUUGGAUUUGGAGGUGGUAGCACUCGACACACCUUUAAGGUUAAUGUCUUUGGUCGUUCAACCUACCUUGAUAGAAAGGAUUAAAGAAAAGCAAGCCCAAGACUUGGAGUUGCAAAAGAUUUGAUCCAAGAUUGAUGAUGGACACGCCGAUAACUUUUAUUUGGAUGAUCAAAGAAUGCUUUGAUUUCAUAAUCGAAUUUGUGUACCAGCGGAAUUGGAGAUUACGAAAGAAAUUUUAAUGGAAGCUCGCCGAGCACCCUACACGUUACAUGCGGGGGGUACAAAAAUGUAUAAGGAUUUAAAGUUGCAAUAUUGGUGGCCCAGAAUGAAAAAAGAUGUUGGAGAGUUUGUGGCUACAUGCCUAACUUGUCAACAGGUAAAAGCUGAGUACCAACUUCCUGCAGAAAAAUUGCAAAGUCUACCAAUACUCGUGUGGAAAUAGGAGAAGAUCACCAUGUACUUCGUUGUGGGCUUGCCCCACUCACAAGCCGGGCAUGAUGGGAUUUGGGUGAUCGUGGAUAGAUUAACAAAAUCUGCACAUUUUGUUCCUAUUCACAUUACUUAGACAAGAGAGAAGCUCGCACAAGUAUAUCUUGAUGAGAUUGUGCGACUUCACGGAGUGCCUACAUCUAUUGUAUCGGAUCGAGAUCCUAGAUUUGUAUCGCAUUUUUGAAAAAGUCUCCAUGAGACAUUAGACACUCGACUUGAUUUCAGCACUGCAUUCUACCCUCAGAGUGAUGGACAAUCGGAACGCACUAUUCAGAUCCUGAAAGAUAUGCUUAGAGCAUAUGUUAUGGACUUCCAAUGUGGAUAGCAUCAGCAUCUACCCAUGGCGAAAUUUGCUUAUAACAACAGUUAUCAAGCAAGCAUUAAGAUAACGCCGUUUGAAGCCCUCUAUGGAAGAAAGUGCUGAUCACCUCUUCAUUGGAGUGAGAUAGGUGAGAGAUGGGUUUUGGGCCCUGAUGUGCUACUAGAAGCCGAGGAUAAAGUUCGUCUUGCUUGAGAACGACUGAUAGCGGCUCAAAGUAGACAGAAGAGGUAUACAGAUAAGCGUCAACGAGACUUGAAAUUCCAAGUGGGAGAUCAUGUCUUUUUGAAAGUCUCACCGACAAAAGGAGUAAAGAGAUUUGGUAUUCGAGAGAAGUUGAGCCCACAAUUUAUUGGACCUUUUGAGAUUUUGGAGCAUGUAGGCUCGGUAGCGUAUCGGCUUGCCCUACCGCCGAACCUAUCAGGAGUACACAAUGUGUUUCAUGUUUCCACGCUCCGAAAGUAUGUUUUUGAUCCAGUUCAUAUAUUGGACAUUGCUCCGGUGGACUUACAUAAGGAUAUGAGCUUUGAAGAGCACCUCGUGAGGAUUUUGGCUCGUGAGGUGAAGUAGCUCUGGAAUCGUGAGAUUCCUCAUAUGAAAGUGUUUUGGAGCAAUCACGAAGAGCGCGAGACUACCUAGGAGUUGGAAAGCGUACUUCAGGAGCGUUAUUCCCAUCUCUUUUAGAUGGAUUCUUGAGGUACUUGACUUUAGUUUUGCGGACGAAACUCCUUUUUAGGAAGGGUGAAUGUAGUACACUAAACUUUAGAAAAUUGUAAAAUUCUAGUGUAAGAAUAGUAUUUUAAACUAUUUUGGAUGUUUUGAGGGUUCUCUGUGUGGUUUCUGCCUAUUUCUGGAGCUUAUUAGGCGCGAGAACGGGCUAUCGACAUCAAAAUCUGCAAAGUGCAGAUUUCAGUAUUGAGUACCGGUACUAAAGGUUGGUACUGGUACCCUGUAGAGUGCCGAAAUAGGUUGCUCUCGGGUUUGAGAUUUGGGGUGUUGACUACCGGUACUAAGUGUUGAGUACCGGUACUAUGGCUCGGUACCAGUACUGCAUCGCACGGGUACCGGUACACCGUAUUAAACCUGAAUGUCUUGCGCUCGAGUUCUAUAUGCUUAAGGGCCGGGUACUAAUACUCCCAUUCGAGUACUGGUACUCAAUGCAGAAAACUGCAAUACGUGCAAUUUAUAAUUUUUGAAUUUUUGUGGGGUCUUAAGGGAAUUAUUACAUCAUGUAUAUGACUCCCCCUUUCCCCCACAUGCCUUCCUUUGUGCGGAGGCUUGAGAGAGGUGGAGGUGGGUUUUUCUCCCUUUCUCUUUUUAGGAUUUCUUCCCCAAACUCCUUUAGAUUUGGGUUUUGAUCUCUUUUCUUCUUUUUUUGAAUGGUGGCUACCUACUUGAUCCUUGAAGGAGGCUUGGAAGUGAAGAAGAGAGCUUGUUUGAGGAUCUAACUCUAAUUCUAGCUUGGAUUAGAGCUUUCUUUAAGGUUAGUACUUUUCUUGCAACAUUUACUUGUGGAUUUUGUAAGAUUUGUGGAUGAAGACCUAGUUUUGGAAAAACUAGGAUUUAUUUUGGAGUUUCUUGAUUUGAACCUUUGGGGUUAAAUAAAUGAGUGUAGAACUCUCUUUUAGGUUGGAUUUGAAGCUUUGUAGCUUCGAUUUGGACUUUGGACAAGUUCUUAUUGGAUAAAAAUAUUUUUUCACCUAUUUUAGACUUAAUUUUUGGGUAUUUCUGUUGGAGGUUUGUUAAAAGCUUGUAACCCUCUUAGAAAUUGGUGGACAACUUCGUUCGAAGGAACGAAAGGGUUCGAAGGGUAUUCGGUGGGUUUGACCUCGCCGAAAUGGGUGAACUCCCUCUAUGUCUUCAACAUUAUUUUUAGACCUAAUUAGAUGUAUAUUCAUGCUAGAUAUGACAUGAGAGAAUUUUUGAGUACAUGCUUCAUACAUGUUAUGUAUAGAAAUUUCUAUGCCCUAUGAAGUAGAGACUUACAAUGUGAAAAUGUAUAUUAAAUAGUAUAUUAUGAUGAUUUGCUCUUAUGCAAUAAUAAAAAGCAUGUUAGAGAUGAAUGUUGGUUUAUCCUAUAAAUUAUACAUAGUGAACGGAAUAAAAAAGGGUUAACUUGUAUGAUAACCAAUAUACUUGUUAUAGAUAAGAAAAUGUGAUAUGGUGCAUGGUAGUGACAAAAUAUGAAACUAAGCAUGUUAUACUUAAUCUAGUUGAACAACUAGAACUUGACAUUGUGACAUAAUAUUCGAUCUCUAGAUCGCUAGUUGACAUUCCAUAUUUUAGACAUGAUAAACGAGAUCCUUAUGUUGUUAAUCACGCUUUCUUGCCAUUGUGCUCAUUUGCACAAGCUUGUAAGGGUCGUUUCCCUAUAAGCCGGCACUCCGGAGUUUGCCUAUGCGACAUCAUGCUCGCCCGUGGGGAUUGGGCAACGAUGACUACUACGGGGCCAUUAGGCACGGUGCAAACCGGGACUUUACCUUGUGUGUGUGUGUGUGUUUGUAUACCUAUGAAUGUGAAUUAAAAAAAAAAGCCGUAUGGUAUUAUAUGCUAUACGGAUGGAGCUACUUUAAUUAAGGUGCCAUGCACCUUAAUUAAAGCGAUUCAUAAUGGUAUUUGAUGCAUAUACAUAUAGAGAUCAAUCUCUCUUCGAUUUCUCUUCCACGUGUGUGUUUCUAUUCGAUCAAAUUCUCUACUCUUCAUCGAUUAGUGAAUCAUGAAGGGAUUGCUAACACCGCCCAGAUGGUCCGUGACUCAUCUAGUUUGUGAGAUGAAAAUCGAUCGGGUAUACGCUGAUUCCAUGUAGACACGCAUAUAGACCGGACACGUGUGCGGCUAUACUAGAACCUCAAAGCAAUGAUUGAAACUUACAAUACCAACCAUACAGUAAUUCAAGAGAUCUUUUCUGGUCCGCGAUAGGAUAUCUAAACAUAAAGAGUUUUCGUUUAGAUUAAAUUUUUGUAUAGUAACAUGAGAAUGAUUCGCCGGCAAUGGUUUGAUUUAUUGAUUUUCGGUUAUCAUAUAUGAUAUGUAUUUGGUUUUCGAAAAAUUUUAAAAUGCAAAAUUAUCUUCCGCUACGUUUUUCUGAUGUGCCGGUUAAUUUCUUAUAGAGAGCACACACGUGCCCUCUCCCUACUACCCUCUUUUACACAGGUUCUUAAUCGCGAGAAUUUUACGCUUAAGUACUAAUCUAGGAGGAUUUUGACUCUAAGCAGCACCAAAACCUUCGAAAACUGGGAAGCAGAAGGAUCUCUAGCUCCCCCGUAUGGUCAAACUUGAAUAUUGCGGGAUAUAUUUGAAGUGGCUAGUAACUUACAGCUCUAUUGUCGGUGGCGACUCCGGCGAGGACGAACAUCAGGAAGAAAGUGAUGAUAAACUCGAGGACGAGAGAUUGGACGUUGGACCCCGUCGGGAUUGUCCCGAAGAAGCGGUUGUGCCCGCCGCCGAACAACAAACGCACCGUUCCGCUGGCGAGUGUCGAGCCCACUAGCUGGGCUAUGAUGUACAUUGGCACCUGCAUCAGUUGAAAGCAAUCGCAAAGUGAUUACAACUUGGUUGUUGAAAGAGUAAGCAAUGUUCUAGUGUAGCAUAUUACAACAAAACUGUUGUAUAGCGAUACUUUUAAAUAUCGGUACAGGUCAAAAUGCUACUGGCUAUUACCAAUACUUUUUAAAAGUGUUACUAUAUGUGGGGUCGCUAUAUGUAAGGCCGCCUUGAUGCUUGGCACUCACUCCUACAAGGACUUGUGGCGGAGGGACACGUGGUGAUCGUAGCUCUCUACGGUCCCUGCGAGAUACUCACGGCCGAACUCCAGCCGCCAGAACCCUACCUCGUCGACUGCGGCGGCAGAGGAGGAGAAGGAGAGAUGGCGAUCAAUUUUUCUUUUCUUUUUCUUUUUUAUUUGUAAUCGGGCCAAGUCGGCUGAGUGGAAUUGGUUGAGUAGAGGAAUUUUUUAUUUCUUAUUGGAUUGGAUUUUAUAUUUAGGCCUUAGUAGAUUUUUAAAAAAAGUUUAAGCAUAAAUGAGACACUUACACAAAAGAAUCCCAAAAAUAUGUCCCUAUAACCUAAUUCUGUUGUAGUAUCACCAGAUCUAAGACGCGCCAUUUUAAACAACUUUUCUAUUAGAAAAAGUAAAACUCAAAAUUUUGUAAAAAUAUUUAUAUGAAUAUGUUAUAUAGAAAUGUAGGAUAAAUUAACCUGUUUCCAUGGAAACCUUCCGCAAGAAGCAAAGGCGAUAGUUAUAGCAGGGUUGAUAUGGGCGCCAGAUAUGUGCCCGACAGAGUACACCACGACCAUGACGGUGAGCCCCCAGACGGUGCAUACACCGGGAAAAGUCACGGCACCCCCCUUGCUCAAAUCCACGGCCACCACGCCGCACCCGGCGAAAAUCAAGAAAUAUGUACCAAGUAUCUCCGCAAUGAUCUGCAAAAAACAGCGAAAAAAAAGAGAACAAAUGAUUAAAUAAUUUUAAAGAAAUGACAAACAAAAUAUUAAAAACAUAUAAAAUAUAUAAAAUAAAAUGUCAACCGUAAUGGUGAUAUAUAAAUAAAGGAAAAUUUUACUCCUACACCCCGAAAGGAGUGUAGGAUAUACACGCGACCCAUUCAAGAGUAAAAUGUACUCUGCUAGUCACAUCAAUGUGACUAGCGGAGUACAUUCUAAUUUUGGAUGGAUGGAAUGUAUAUCAUGUGACUAGCGAAGUACAUCCCCAUUCUUGGAUGGAUGGAGUGUAUAUCCUAAACCCUUUUGGGGGCGUAGGACUAGCAUUGCUCACACAUAAAUGUGCCAAUAGCCGACUGUGAUGGGUUUAUUUGCUGGCCAACUGCCUAUUCUUGUGUUACUUGAAUGCACUUUACUCUCGGUUUGGCUUGCUGUGCGGUAUUUUUGAUUGUUUCAACAUAAUCAGAAAUUACAUUUUUCAAGAAUCAGAUUAUGACUAAUAUUAUAUUAGGUUUGAUUGGGUAUUAUAAUAAUUUAAUAACGGAUUACUGCACAUAUAAGAUUACCGUAUUUGAUUUGUCUUAUAUAUUUUAUUAAUUAUGACAGUAAAGUUUAUUUGCACGCAAAUUCACUUGAAAUUUGAAUGUAAAUUUUAUGUAUAAUUUUAAAUUCAAAUUUUAAAUUUAAAAAUAAAUGUUGGUUCAAUUUUUAGAUUCAAGUUCUAAUUUCGAGAUAGAAUUUUAAAUUUAAAUUUUUUAUUUUGAAAUCAAACUAUGAAUUCAAAUUCUAAAUUCAAAUUCAAAAAUUGAAUUCAAUAUCAAAUUCAAAUUUCAAAUUUAAAUUUAUAUUUUAAAUUUGAAUUCAGAUUUUCAAUUCAAUGUUCAAAAUCAAAUUUAAAUUGAAAAUUUAUAUUUUGGGUUCAAACUUAGAUAUCUUAUAUAAAUGAGAAAUUAAAUUUUGAAUUUUCUUUUGAAUUUAAAUUUGAGGUAAUUGGAGGGUGGGGAGAGAGACCUUUGGAAUUUUUCCUAAGUUGCGGAUUACCCACAAUUAGUAAUGCAAGAUGCCCGCUGCCUCUUCCGUAAAUUUUUUUGGGUAAUCUUAUACUGGUAGUAAUCAAGUAGAAUUAUAUAUGGGAUGAAUCUCACACAAUAAUUUAAAAAGACUCAUAUUAGCUUUUCACUAAUCCGAAACAAGUGGAUACACAAGAAGUGUCCUUUUUGGCACUAUCUGAAGUAAAAAGAAAUGCUAAGUUUACAUUAAAAAAGGACUUGUAAAAUCUAUAAUCCUUCAUCCAGCAAUUUUAAGAUUUACUAAUUCUUUUUUAUUUUUAGUUUAUUUAAAAGAAGAAGAGUCAUAAGACUUACAGAGAAAAGGUGAAUUUUGGAUGAGAUGCAUGGCUGUAGGUUUAAUUUACAACUCAUUUUGGAUUGUCAGACCAGGCAGUGCUAUUUAAUAAAAUAUUAUCUCGAAGCUAUUAUAUUUGGUUCAAGGUUCGUGGUACACCAAACAGUGUUAUUUAGAGCCUGUUUGAUUCAUAAUUUUAUAAUAUUUUAAUAAUUUAUUAUUUAUUUAAUUAAAAAUUAAAUUAUUAUAAUUCAAUUUAAGUUGGAAAGUUAUUAACCGUGUGAGUGAAAUAGUAAAAUAUUUUAUAAAUUUUAGGUAGUAGAAAGAGUAAUAAAUUAAAUUAUUAUAGAGACUACUAAAAACACGCUAAUUCUUAAUAACAUUUCAAUUUAAAUGGUUUGAUAAGUUAAUAAUAAAUUUGUCAUUUCAAAUAUAAAAUAUAUAAAUUAUAAAUCUUGAUAAGUUUGUGGCAAAUCCAUCUGAACUUACUUUUGUUAAAAUUCAGAAGAGUCCGAAACUUAAGUUUCUAAUUUUUUUAAAAGAACACAAAGAUGAAGAUGAUAGUUAAUGGGUGGAGAGAGAAAGAGAGCGAUAUCAAGAAGUGCUUCACCCACCUUUUGUAUGAAAUGUACAGAGAUUCCUGAGCAACAUCCUUCGCUUUUGGAAAUCUCAUUUGUAAUCUCCUCUCCUCCUCUCGCUUCCUCCAUAGCUCUCUCUCUCUCUCUCUCUCUCUCUCUCUCUCUCUCUCUCUCUCUCUCUCUCUCACACACACACACACACUACCACCCAAAGAAAGUGAGAGACACUAAAAAGAGGCUCUAGCCAAAAAGAGCUACUCCAAGGGUAAGGGAAAAGCCUCAAACUUGGGUUUCUAUUUAUAUUGGCACCAACUAAGAAAGAGGGAGGCAUACGGACCUAUAGAGAUUGAAAUAAGGGACGAAGUGUACUGUAUCACAUUUAUAUUAUAUUAUUUAUAACAAAUUAAUUAUAUUUUUUUAUUUAAAAAAAAUAAUAAAAAUAUUAAUAAUCACGAUGGGACAAAUAAAUACAAAAGAAAUUAUUUGAUUGGUUGAAAAUGUCACGUUACUAAUAUAAUUGGUGUAUUCUGGAAUUUUUCGAAGAAGGGCACAAUACGGCACCAACUAGAGAGUAGAGAUAGAGAAAGAGAAAGAGAUGAUCUAAUAGACUCUCAGCCACUCUUUGCUUUUCUUGAGAGAGAGAGAGAGAGAGAGAGAGAGAGAGAGAGAGAGAGAGAGAGAGAGUAUUUUGAAAAGUUGGCUUAAAAAUUUGAUGGUUGAUAUUCGGUGACAGAUGUAAUUAAUUAAUCCUCAGUGGGGUAUGAGAUCAUUGCAAGAAAAGCCUUCUUGUAUAGUCGACCCUAUUUUGGAAUCAAAUAAGUCUAGAAGCCGUACCCCUUUAUUAGAGAGAAAGACCCAUAUGGGUAUGAACAAAUCGAACUCCCUAACUUUUUUAGUAAAAAAAAAUUUUCUAUGCAGUACUAAAGGCCGAAAAAGACUUGUCUAAUUAAAAAAACCUUGCUUCUUUUACCCCUCAUAAUGUCUCUCUUUAUUCUUUCUCAAUCAUAUUUAAUCUAAUUAAUAUAUUGAGUAAUAGUUGAAAGACCAAACCAAAUCCUAUUUAGGUGCACUACAAAAAAAACGAUCUACAGCGAUACUUUUAAAUAUCGGUAUAAGUCAAAAAAAGUGUUGCUAGUUAAAUUACCGACACUUUUAAAAAGUGUUGCUAUAUAUGGAGUUGUUAGGUAUAUAGUGACAGUUAAAAAGUGUCGUUAUAACCUAAAAAAAGUGCUGCUAAUUUACCAACAUUUAUUUAAACAUUUAGCAAUUGCCGGAACUCUACUUCGUUGGCUGCAGUGGCAGAGGAGGACGAGAGGGAAGAGUUUUUCGUCUAGAAUUUCAGUGGAUUAAGUGAGGGGAGAAUGGGAGAUGAUAAUCGAUUUUUUUUUUCUUUUCUGUUUAUAAUCGGGCCGAAUAAGCUGGGUGGAUUGGGUUGAAUCGAGUAACCUUUUAGUUUUAGUUUGAUUGGCUUUAUAUUUAGGUAUUAGUAGAUUUUUUUUAAAGUUUUGACAUAAAUGGGACACUUACACAAAAGUGUCCCAAACAUAUGUUCCUAUAACCUAAUUCUGUUGUAGUGGUGUUAGUAAAUUUUUUUUCUCUUUUAAUUCUUUAAUUAGGAUGCAAAAUGUAAGGUAUGUAUUUAGGAUCUUUAUUUGAUUUUCUUUAUUUGUGAAUUUAUUCUUUUUAUUUAUGAAAUGAACAAUAGUUGUUUUAUAUCAUUAUAAUAUAUAAAAAUACUACAAGUACAUUAGUAAUUUUUAUUUACUUGUACUUGAUUAGUAUUUUUGUUUGUCAAUAAUUAUUUACUGAUUUAUUUUUAAUAUUUUUGUUAGCCAUUGGCAAAUGAUUAAUUUCUUGUAAUUUGUAAGAAAUUUUCAAAAAGAAAAACCACUUAUAUUUCCUUUCAACACAAUUAGUCAUCUCAAACUCAAGAAAGUGGAAGUGAAAAUAUAAAAGGUCUGAUUACAAUACACAUCAAUCUUCUACUUACUAAAGCGAUGUUGUUUUAAAUAUCUUUUCCAUUGAUCUUGUAGAUAAAAAUAUAUAUAUAUAUAUUAUACCACCAUCCAAACUAUCAUGUCCUGCGAUCGUCAAUUUGGUCGAUCCGGACACGCACACAGACGCCAAACAUACAGAACCUUCCCUAUCCACCCAAGGCUCAACAACAACAACAACAAUCAUAUAUAAGAAAUUAGCCUAGAAAUAAUUUCAAUAUACAUGACUUGCACGAGGGCAAACAACAAGAGCGAGCGAAAGUAAACUAGCUAUUACAUCCAUAUAUUGUAUCUUGAUUACAUUAAACCAAAUACAAGCUUCAUAAUCCGUUACAUUCAUUUCCCCAAAAUACAUCACAUGUCUAUUCAAGUACAUUUACUACAUAUUCUUUACAUAUUUAUUUUCAUCAUAUACAAAAGAUGAAAUACAAAAUGGUACAUCUAUACUCGGGAAGUCCACUACCUAGGGCGCGAUACCCUUGCCGCGAUUCUCGACCGUCCCGCUCGCACUAGGAUUUGCAAGGUUAGUGAGGUGUGUUAGGGAUUUUGUAUUGACAAGUUUCGUGAUUUGAGUCGGAAUCUUGAAGGGUUCGGUUUGUGUUGUUGAAGAUUGAAGAAUCUGAGAUUCCGAAGAACUCGAAAACAUCUCACUGGAUGAAUCACGAUGCUCAGGUAAGUUUUUAAAUGUUUGUAUGGUGAUUCAUAUCUAUUUAUGACGUUAGAAUCAUAUAAAUCAAUGAUACAUGGAAUAGAAGUGGGUUUUGAAACUUUUGAAUUGAUUAUAAUAAUAUUUUUAAUUGAGUAUCGGUACCAGGUUUCAGUUCCUAAAAAUCGUAUUGAAAAAAUUGAGUUUUUAUAUUGUGUACUGGUACCCACAUUUUGUUCCUCAAAACCCGAGAGAUACAAUUCGCAGAAUUGUGUUGUGUACCGGUACCGAGAUCUAGUACCUGUACUACAUCGGCUAUGUACGUACCGAUACUGCAUUGGCCGGUACCAACUCCCGAGUACCAGUACUCAAUGCAAAAUUUCCUAAUUAAGCUUCUAAUCCAACUCUAAUUAAUUCUAAAGUCUACAAAUAAGCAAUUAGGGUUCUCUAAUACGUACAGAAACAUUGAAAAUACAUGCAAGAAUAACCCUAGAGGCUAGGUUUUUUGGUUCUAAAUCCUUUCCACCAUAUAGCCUCUUUUAGCUCAAUUCGAGGUAUUGAAUUCAAUGAUAUAUGUCGAAUUGAUCUAAGUUUUGCUUAGAGAUUUUUCUCUGGUUCUUCAACAACUCUCUAAGCAAAGGAUCACCAUAGAAACAUAAUACUCUUCAUGUGCAUAGUCGUGGAUUCGGCGUGAUCAAGGCGGUUCGUGGAUUCGGAUCGUGGGCUCGUGGAUUCGAGUGACGUUCGUGGAUUCGGAUGUGAGGUGUGGCGUUCGUGGAUUCGAACGUAGGACGUGGACAACCAGGUGACGUGCGCGAGAUCCGUAGGAGGUUAAAGAGAGGUUAACCCCGUGGAGUCUGUAAUCACCUUGCAAUCUUUUUCUCUUAGUGGAUUGUUUUUUCGCGUGUUGGUCCCGUGAGUUUUUCUCCAAAUUGAAUUUUUUCCACAUAAAUCUUGAUGUGCUAUUUUAUUUUUCGCAUUUAUUUUUUAUUGCAUUUAGAUUUGUGUUUUUGGGCUUUACACCUAUUCACCCCCCUCUAGGUGAAAGUAUCUAGAUAGAUCCUUGGGUUUCCAUAACCUACAAUUGGUAUCAGAGCAGGAUCUAGAUUUUUCUAUCAUAACAGGUGAAGGUAGUAACAUUAAUCGACCUCCGCUUUUUGAUGGCACAAACUAUGCCUAUUGGAAGGCUCGCAUGAGAGCUUUUCUAAUAGCUAUCGACGAGUGAGUUUGGCAAUCCAUCGAAUUUGGAUGGAAACAUCCGACUGAAAAGGUCGAGAAUGUUGAAAAGCCAAAACCACGUGAUAAAUGGAAUAAGGGAGAGAUUGAUUCAUCUUCUUACAACGGUAGGGGAAUUAAUACUUUAUUUAACACUUUAUCUCAAAUCGAAUUUUCAUGCGUCUCGGCCUGUGAAACAGCAAAGGAGAUUUGGGGUACUCUUCAAGUUACGCAUGAAAGAACUAGCUUGGUAAAGGUCUAAAAAUUACAAAUAUUAACAAGUAAAUUUGAUUUAAUCUGUAUGGACGAACACGAGAUCUUUACCAAGUACUAUACUCGACUUCAAAAUAUAGUUAAUACAUGCGCGAACUUGGGAGAGAAAAUCCCGGAACCUAAAGUUGUAAUGUAGUACACUGAACUUUAGCAAUUUGCGGAGUUCGAGUGUGGGAUUGCAAAAUGGAACGGCCCUACAGCUUCUAAAGGGCUUAGACAAGUUUUUGGCCAUGUUAGAGGUGGUUUGGAAGGGUAAAAGCAUGAAAGUGCAUUGCUCUGGCGAAAAUCAGGGUUUUCUGCAUUGUGUACCGGUAUAGCCAUCAAUGUGUACCGGUACACAAUGGCAAAAACGUGGCAGCAGGGCUAAUUUGGUAAUUUCACCUCUUGUUCUCAUCUAUUUGAAUCCAGCACGACUCUGAGGGCUCAGUGGAGAUUGCUAGGCUCAGAGAAAGCUUCUUUCACCUUCUCUCUCUCUCUCUCUCUAAGGUUUUUCUCUCUCUACGUAAAAGCCGUCGAUUCGAGUCGAUUUCGCGCUCCGGCCGACGCUCGCUGAUUUGGUACUCAAGGGACGCUUUCAACACGUGGGGAGGAGGACUUUUCUCUGAGUUUUCUGUGAGGUUAGUACCAGAGAAGCUGAAUCUUAGCUUUAGAAAAGGAAUUAGCUCAAUUUCUCUCUAGUUUGUGAUUUAGCAUUGGAAUUUGAUGCGUUUUGGUUUCACUACUUCCAACUGAAUUCGAGGAUGUUUUCAGCAGUAAAGAGGAGUUAUUUUGCCUGUGAAUUAACCACUCUAGCUCAGUAAAAAGUUGCUUUAAAGCUGGACUAAGAUAAUUAAUUAUUUAUGAAGCUAGAAUCGAGUUAUUGAUGCAGUUUGAAAAUUGUGUCUUCACAACAUGGUUUUGAAUCAAGUUGAACUAAAUUGGUGACCUGGGGAACUUGUUUACAGGGUGUUCCAACUAGAGGUAAGCUGAAAUUUCAGUUAGAAAACUGAAUUCGCAUGGUUUCGGCUAUAGGAACUAGUAUACGAGCGUUGUGACGCCGUUUAAUGUUUGCUCACAGCAGGGUUGCGAUCAACCCUUGGAUCGUUUUCAACUGAUUGGUGAGAGCUUUUGGAGACUUAACUUGAGGUAUCUAACGUGACCCAAAACAGGGAUUUAAGUUGCAAUUUAGUACAAUUGAGUAUUUCGCCGAAAUUGGACUUUUAGUCAUCUUUGUGACGCGGUUCUUAUGUUUUAUGUUCAACAGGGUCGAGGCCUAGUUGAGCUAAAUCUUGGAAUUCAUUUGGGCUGCUUUGAGCUUAGUAAUAGGUGGGUUUGACCUAACCAGAAUAAAUGAAGCUCCCCUAUGUUCUAUAUGUCACUAUAUAGGAUCGGUCCAUAAGCGCACUUUUAUGACUUUGUGAGUUAAGGACUUGGAUUAUGUCACCAUAAUGCUUCAUACACUAUUGAAAUGAAUCCUCUAUGUAGUAGAGAGAAAAUCUGUGCAUAAUAUAUUUAUGUCUAUGUAUAGUUCAGUUUAAUAAUUGAUGAACAACUUAAUUAUGCUUUUGCAAAGUACAAUCAUAUGAUGCUCGAGACCAAUGACUUUUUUUGUGACUGCUUUGAUAGUAUCAUGUUAGUGGACAAUUUCCAAUGCCAUAUGUAAACUAGCAUUACUUUCAUAUGCUUACUAGUUUAGUGAAUAACAGUACUUUAUGAUAUUGAGAUUUCAAGCAAUACAUUGAGAACGAGAACACUAAUAUAGCAUGAUGAUUGAAACUAGUUGGGCUAUGGAUUUUGCUUGCUUGCCAUUGUGCUCAUUCGCACAACCCUGUGAGGGUAGCUCCCUACAAGCCGGCACUCCGGAGUUGGCCUACGCGACAGUUGCUCGCCCGUGCGGGAUUAAGUGCCGAAGUGGAUUGCCGUCGGGAGUGGAUACUACCACGGGGCCAUUAGGCGCGGCGCAAGCGGGGUUACUGUAAGGUACCGGACUUCUAAAAUCAUGAAGUUAUGGUGUACGUUGCUUUGGAAAGCCAUUUGGAUGGUUUCGUGAGGUUCGGUGAAGUUCUGGAGCAACCGGGCGUUUCGGUGCGCAUAGGCGCGAAAACGGAGCCGAAAGGCUAGGUUGGGCCGUGAGCUAAAUCCGGCAUUAGCGAGGAUGGAAAGAUGAUGAAAACAUGUUUGAAAACAUGUUUGGAGAGUCUCGGUUCGAUUUGAGACGAAUCGGAGGUCAAACGAACGAAAACGGGCGAAAACGGAGCGAAAACGGACGAAGCUGAAAAUUGGCUAAGUCUGGGCUGGAGGUCUCUCUGGGACCGGUCCCAGGUAGAGAGACCGGUCUCUCAGAGACCGGUCCCUCAUGUAGAGACCGGUCCCCGAACCCCGAAAAUGCCCAGUUCGGGCUGUUGCAAGNAAAUGUUGAAAAAAUCCUCUCAAAUCUCAAAUAGAAGUUAGAGCACUCCAAAACCAAACUAAAGGAAGAUUCUAAACCAAUCAAUUGAGCACCAAAAUCUACAAAUCAAAAAUCUCCAAAUAAAUCCUAGAUUUCUCAUUUCUAGGGUUUCUACACAAAAUCUUCAAAAAACAUGAUUCAAAUGAGAGAAACAUAUUCCUAACCUCUUUAGAAGCUCCAAACUAAACUUGAAAUGAGUUAGGGUUGAAGAUCUCUCCUCCAAUAAGCUCCAAUCCAAGCUCCAAAGCUUCUCCCAUGGUGGAAAUGCCACCAACAAACAAAGGGAAGCAAAAUGAGGUGUUUAAUCCUCAAAAAUUCCAACAAAAUGGAAAGGAAAUCAAGGGGGUGAGGAGGGCUUCCCUACCUGGUUCUCCUCUGUCUUCAAGCUCAGGGAACACAGGAGGGGGCGUGGGUUACAUAUAGUGUUGUAACAAAAUCAAAAACAUCCCUCAACAACAAGCACUUCGCAGUCUGCACUACGUAUCGGUACGCGGGCUAGAGUACCGGUACCCCGCAUCCGAGCUCGCCAAACCCGAGCCUCAGUCAGGCGAGAAAACACACUACGUACUGGUACCUGCACGAUGCAGUACCGGUACCAGGUCUAGUACCGGUACCAGGUCUAGUACCGGUACUCGGGUAAUGCAGUGCCGGUACUCUGUGUAACAUACCAGAUUUUGAUAUAAAAGUAAAAAAAAAUAAAAAUAGUGUGAGGUACUAUUUUUAUUGAAUUUAGAGAAGUAAAAUAUAAGUCGGAAACGACUUGUGCUGAAAUCGAAAUAAAAACAGAAGAUUUAAAAUUUUCUGUGAGAAAUAGAGCUGAUAUUUUAGCAGAAAAUGCACAGUGUCAGAAAAUUAUAAAAACUGGAGAAUAUGUCAGAAUUAUUUUUAUGAGGCUACAUUUAAAGUUUCAUGUCAUUCUGACACCCGGAAGGUGAAAAAUAAAAUCCGACUGCUAUCUGCUAGAGAUUACAGUUCGGUAGAGCUAUCGGUGACCAAAUGUGGUCGAAACUGAAAGAUUAAGAUUUCUUUCGUUAAGUUAAGUAAAACCGAGUCUGACUGUCAAAUUUAAGCUCAAACGGACAUUCAGAAGAGUAAGCAAAAAAUAUUUGUACCUAAGCUAGAGAUGUAAUUUGUAAUAGUGCAUGUAAGGGAUUUAAUCCCUUUCUUUUUCUUCUCCACCAGCCGACUACCACCACCACCAUCACACGUGCAUGGUGAGGGAGAGAGAGAAAACUUUUCUCUUUCUCUCUAGAUUUCUCUCUCAUUGUCACAACCCAAUAAUCCCACAUCGAAUUGGAAGGGGGAUGUGAUUAGAUAUAUAAGAGACUUAGACACUAGUAAUAAUAACUGGGCUUAAGCAUUUUGGGCCGGUGGUUGGGUCCAACGAGUUAUUGUUGCUAGUGGGCUGGGUCGUUACAUUUGGUAUUAGAGCCAAUCACCAGCCGGAAAUGUGUGGCGCCUUUCGGCUGAGUCAGGGUCUGAAAGACAAAGUGAUAGGCUAUGCCGGAGUCUGUAUGACAAGGUGACCGGCUAUGUCAGGGUCUGGAUGACAAGGCUAGCGAGACAAGUCUCACAUCGCUUGGUGAUCUUGGGCUGUGUGUGUGAUUGGACUGACGAGGACGUCAGGGCCUUAACGGGGGGAGUCUAUCACACCCUAAUAAUCCCACAUCGGAUUGGAAGGGGGAUGUGAUUAGGUAUAUAAGAGACUUAGACACUAGUAAUAAUAACUGGGCUUAAGCAUUUUAGACCGGUGGUUGAGUCCAACGAGUUAUUGUUACUAGUGGGCUGGGUCGUUACACACAUCUCUCUAGACCUCUCUCUAGAAAUUUGAGGGUUGGUGGAGAAGAAGCUUGGGAACGCGUUGGAGGUGUCGGUUCGGGUUCUCGUGCGGCCGUUUGAGCGGCGUGCUUCCGUCUCGAUGUUCAAAUUUCGGUAAGUGUUUAGGAUUUGGUUAAAUCCUUUAUACUUAGUAUUCUAAUGAUCCCUAAACUACUAAAUGCAUGUUUCUCUAUGAGAUUGUGGGUCAUUUGGAGUAUAUGUGCAUGCUUAGAAAUGGAGGUUUUGUUUUAUAUGAAGGUUUGAUCAAAAUUAACCCUAUACAAACCUAAUUGAAGGUAUUUCCGACGCGUUGGCGAAGUCAGUUCGGCGAUUCGUGGAGCCUAUGCGAAGUUAUGGAGAAAANGUUCCUGGUUGGAACCAUUGUAAUGUACAUUGUUUGGAUUGCGACGCCUAGAACGUACAGGGGAGACUCUGUCCGCGUACAGGGGAAACCCCGGUCCGUUCGGCGGUCUGUCGGCGUGCCCGAACCGGACCAAAUUGGGAGCGGUCUCGGGGCGUGACAGUUACCCUAUGUAAUCUAAUAUGAAUGCCAUUUAAGUUUGAAAUGACAGUAAUGAUUACUUACUAGCUUAGAGUACAGUAUGUACCUUAUGUUUCUGCUCAUGUUCAUAUUUAUGUUUACAGUGCUUUUAUUAUUCAGUUGAUUCAUUACUGUAGAAUGUAUGAUUACAUGCUGCUUACAUGUUCAUUACUUGUAAUUAUGGAGAUAUGCAUUUACUGCUUUUCCUUUCAUUUAGUACACCAUAAGCCUAGUGGUGUAAUUCGCCGAGGCUGGCGGCUUACCCACUGAAAACUAUUGUUUAAUAGUUCUCACGCCCAUUUUAUUGUUGUUUUUACAGAGCCUGCUACAGGAGAGGCUAGGGAUCGUGGCAAGGGAGUCGCGUCUAGCUAGAUCUAGCAUUGGAGCUUGUUAGAUGAUCACCUUGUUACUCGUGCUGCGGUCGAGGGUGGUGUCCAUUGUAUAGAGAGACUACCACUGUACCCAUUUUUGUGUAUCUUGUGAUGUAUUUGUAGUUGGGAACCAGAGGUUAUAGUUUUGUUACUAUUUUUUGAUGUUGAGGUUUUAACUUGUUCCCUCUUCGUUCUUCUGUUGUUGGACAUAUCGACUUUGCUUUGCUCUGAUAUUAGGAUAGGCUUUUUCUCUGUUUUCUUCCUAUCGAUUUGCUUCUUUGUAGACGCCUUAUAUACUGCAGGUGUAUGGCGGGUCUGUGCACGUACCAGUUAUGCUUCCGCUGGUAACCGAGCGUGACAUGUAAGAAAAAUCCUUCGAAAACUUCCCAAAAGAUUUCGUCCGAAGGUUGCGGCAAUUGAGACUAGUAAACAUCCGGAUGAAAUGAAAGUAGAAGAGUUAGUAGGCGCUUUGUAAACAUAUAAAAUGACAUUUCCUACUAAUCAAUUUUAUUCCAAGUCUUCUCCUAAAAGUGCAGGGGUUGCACUCAAAUCGACAAAGGAGGAAGACGUGGACUUGGAUUCCGACGGAGACAAAUCUAUCGCCGACUUUGAACACCAAUUGGCGCUUCUCACGAAGAAAUUUCGUCGGAACUUCCGAAAGAACAAAGCCAACAAAGCUUAAUCUUCGAAACAAAAAUCUUCUUCUAAAGAAUCUUCAAGUUCAAAAUCGAAAGACAAAAAACUUGCAAAACCUUCUAAAGAAAAAGAUAAUUUUCAAGGGAAAAUUUAAUGUUACAAAUGAAAAGGCUUCGGCCAUAUUUCUUCGGAUUGUUCCACUAAGAAAUUGUACAAAAAGAAGGCUUUGCAAGCUAAAACUUUGGAUGAUUUUACUUCAGAUGAAUCAAUCUCAAGUGAAGAGGAGAAGAAUAAUGUCAUAGCUUUAGUGUCUGUUGGGUGUCGAACGUCUCGAUCCUUAACCCGGUCAAAGAUCCUCCUCGGGAAGCGCGUCGGGAUGCGGAGCGGCUACUAUUAGCGACCCUCGAAGUUUGCGCCCUUCGACUGGAUCAAACGAUUCGGCUGAUGAGGGAUCGGAUCAACCAAGUUUGAAGACCUUUACUAUAGCUCGGUUCGACUGAUGAGCCGAAAAUACAGAAUGCACAAGAUUUUGGGGCGGCUGAUGAGCCAAAUAGAUGGAAUACACAGUGACUAAUCGGCUGAAAGAGCCGAAUGUCUUUAUAUAUUAAACUGAAGUUGGGAACUCAUACAAAACAGAGUGUACCCGGAGGACAUACAGACUCUGAAAAUCUAGAUUACAACAGAGUGUGCCCAUGGGGCAUACAGACUCCAGAGAUCUAACUUAAAAAAUACUCCUAGAAAAGCAGUAAAUGCGAAUAAAAAAGAUUACAUGUAGACUACUCCUAGAAAACGAUAAAUACAGGAAAGGAAAGUAUUAAAAAUGCGGUGGUCUUCUCGUUCAGGGGAGAGAAAGACCCCUAUUAUAGGCUUCAAAGUUACUAUUUAUAAUAUUUUAUCAGCCCACAUUAUUGGCUGGUUAUAGUAGUAGGGGAAGUGGUAUAGCCAUGAUCAUGGAAGUUACGCCCCACUUCUCAUGGAAGUUACGCUCCACUUCUCAACCGUUCCCGCCUAAACGCUCUUGACCUUCAGGCGCCUUAUUGCCGACUUCUGGUGUACCACGUGUCCUUAUUUCUUUGGCUCAUACGUGGGUUAGGUCCGCGUGUUAAUUUUUUGGUAUCAACAAUGUCCCCCCCAAUAGUCUUUCGAAUGAAUGUUUGAAUGACUAUUGGUGCCAAAUCAACGGCUCAAUAACAUAGCCGAGACCCGAGCUUAAUUUCGCUAGUCUUGGUCGGCUUAUAAGAAGCGACUCUUUACCAUCCUAGCCUUAUAUACCUCGGCUUCAUCAGCAGAUUCUUUGCUUUUACUCUAUUGGCUCGGCUCUUCUUGAACCAACUGUUCUUCUAUCAAGGAUUUCUCUUUGAAGAAAGUGGCUCUUUGCCAGCAACGCGCAUAUACCUCGGCUUUAUCAGCCGAUUCUUCACUUUCACUCGAUUGGCUCGGCUCUUCUUGAACCGACUGUUCUUCUAUCAAAGAUUUCUCUUUGCCUUUGCUUUGCUUUUUAUAUCGGCUCCAUUGCAGCGGAUUGUCCUCACUUUCCUUCCGGAAUUGCUCAUAUUGGGCAACUCGAACACUUAGAUCAAAUAGGUUAGAAAAAUACUUAUCUUCAAAAUGGUCUUUUAUCUUAAAAUGCAGAUCAUUUAACGUCAUUUUGGCGAACUCUGAUUCCGGCAUUCUCAUAAAGCAUCGAAUUUUGGCUAUUUUGAAACGGUUCAAAUACUCUUCGACCGUUUCACCUGACUUUUGUCGAUAUACCAAAUAAAUGCCGUUUUAGUUAACGACGUAUUAAAUAAUCGAAGUUUCAAAAAUGAGUCACCGACCGCUUCUCUACAUUAGGCCGUGAACCGGGCUAUAUGCUCGACCGUAUUCUCGGUCUCAUCGCCCGAGAACUUGUCAAACUUCAGCAUCUUCCAGUUUGCCGGAUAUGUAUGAUCUACAUCAAUAUUUGCAGGAUAUGAGAUCUGAACACAGGCCGCAUUGCCGGCCUUGCGCCUACUCCGAACGUAUUUCGGAUGGCUUCUUCAAUCUAUGCGUAUAUUUCGUUAUUGUUCCCCUGCAAAGAAACUUGUGCUUGUACUUGAUUCGGUCCUUGUGGCAGUCCGAAAUUCUAUACGACAAGAUUAACCCCUUGUAUAUUCGGGAUCUACCCCCCAGCCCUAGCCCCUACAUUUUGGGGCUGAUAUGCUGCCAUUGCCGGAGGAGGUGGCAAUCCCGAUGCUAUCUCUGGCUGCUAACCAGCAUUAACAACAGCCGGUCUGUAAGCCGCCUGAAAUGGUGCCCCCUGGUAUUGGGGCUGACUAUUUACCGGUGUUACAGGAUUUUGUAACACCGGUGUCAUUGCAAGCCCUUGUAGGCCUGUUAUAGGUUGCUCAUUACGAGUCAAUAAUUGCCCUAUUCGGGCAAUAUUCUCAUUGGAGGCCGUGAUUGCGACCAACACUGCAUCUAAUCGCGCAAUGCUUCUAUAACUAUUUUGGUCCAAUACUUGUAGGACCCGUGUCAUUUGUCCAAGCGCUUGAGCCAAAUUAGGCUCUUGUUGGUCAGAUUGAACACUAGUCUCACCUUCGACAGGCAAGACCGCUUGACGUUCUGCAACAUUAUCAGAAUUGCUGGGUUGAUCACUCCCGAAAUUUCUAGGAACGACCCUAUUACGUAAAUUUAUGGCGUUAUCAUCAGCCAUGAUUUCAAUAAAAAUAUAAAUUUACCUAAAUUGGGGUCCCACCAGGCGUGCCAAAAAUUGUUGGGUGCCGAACGUCCCGAUCCUUGACCCGGUCAAAGAUCCUCCUUGGGAAGCGCGUCGAGAUGCGGAGCGGCUACGAUUAGUGACCCUCGAAGUUUGUGCCCUUCGACUGGAUCAAACGAUUCGGCUGAUGAGGGAUCGGAUCAGCCGAGUUCAAAGACCUUUACUAUAGACUCGGUUCGGCUGAUGAGCCGAAUGUACAGAAUGCACAAAAUUUUGGGUCGGCUCAUGAGUCAAAUAGAUGGAAUACACAGUGACUGAUCGACUGAAAGAGCCGAAUGCCUUUAUUUAUUAAACUGAAAUUGGGAACUCAUACAAAACAGAGUGUGCCCGAAGGGUAUACAGACUCUGAAAAUCUAGAUUACAACAGAGUGUGCCCAUGGGGCAUACAAACUCCAAAGAUCUAACUUAAAAACUACUCCUAGGAAAGCAGUAAAUGCGGGUAAAAAAGAUUACAUGUAGACUACUCCUAGAAAACGAUAAAUGCAGGAAAGUAAAGUAUUGAAAAUGCGGUGGUCUUCUCGUUCAGGGAAGAGAAAGUCCCCUAUUACAGGCUUCAAAGUUACUAUUUAUAAUAUCUUAUCAGCCCACAUUAUUAGUUGGUUAUAGUAGUGGGGGAAGUGGUGUAGCCAUGAUCAUGAAAGUUACGCCCCACUUCUCAUAGAAGUUACGCUCCACUUCUCGACCGUUCCCGCCUAAACGCUCUUGACCUUCAGGUGCCUUAUUGUCGACUCCUGGUGUACCACGUGUCUUUAUUUCUUUGGCUCAUACGUGGGUUAGGUCCGCGUGUUAAUUUUUUGGUAUCAACAUUGUCUCACACUUCUUUACCUUCUUCCUCUGCUGCUUGUUUAUCCUCAAUUAUUCCUGACUCCACUUCAUUGGUUUUACAAGAAACAUCCAGCGAUGGUAAUGAAAGCAUCGAGGAGUUGGACGAGGAAGAUCUUGUAAAGGCAUAUCAUUAACUUCUCAUUAAAUCAAAAAAGAUGGCAAAGCACAAUAAGAUGCUAAGGAAGCGACUUUUGGAGAUUGAGAAUGACAAUAAGACUUUGGGUGCGUCAAAUAAAGCUCUUGAAGAGGAAAAGGAGUCGAUUUUGAAGAACAAUAAGGUCCUCCAAGAGAAGCUAGACCAAUCAGAAUUAACGAUGAAAUCAUAUCAAGAAAAGGUUGGUUUUCUAGAGCAACAAUUUGAAGAAAUUCAUGUAUCCAAUUAAGUUUUGACCAAACAAGUCCAUCAACUCAAAUCUGACAUUCAAAAAUUUUCUUCCGAAUGAAAGAAGCUAGACCAUAUGCUCGGAUUAAGUCAAACAAAUAAACUUGAGCUUGGAUAUGAGCGAACUUAUGUUGAGAGGGUUCAAAAGUCAACAUCUAAAGUCUCAACAACUUUGAAGGAAAAAGCGUGCCACAGAUAUGGAAUCAAAGGACACAUCAAGAAGACAUGCCCUAAAAGGGAUAAGAAGACUCCAUCCACAUCUUCUAAACAUCCGUCGGUAUCUUCCAGUACUCGACAACCCCCACGGAUUCAAAAGCAACAUCAAUCGAGUCGAGUAUCUCAAAUCAACCGGAAGUCAAAGCCACAACAAAUAGUUAACACAAAACCAAAUGCAACGUGGAAACCAAAGGUUGAUCGGAACACAAAACAAGCGGUGCGUAACGUCAACAAAUUAAGACAACCAACAAUCCGACAAGUUUGGAUUCGGAAAGGUGAUAUCUUUCAUUGUCUUAAGUCUUAAUUUGUUUUGAUUUGUGUAGUGUUUUGAUUGGUGCUCAUUGCAUAUUUUUUAAUCACUGCAUUACAUGUUUGAAUGGUUUUUGUGCUUGGUUAUUCAUUGAAUGUUCUUUUACUUGGAAUUUGUCACAACCAUUCAUUGGGAAAUUAAAAUUUGAAAAGUGCCUUGAACAUCUCAACUUCUCAUUCAUUCAUUUCGAGUUAAAUUCAUAUUAAUUAUCAAUUUUACUCCACUAUUAUUAUCUUUGAAAAUAAUUUAUUAUAGGAGUUCUUAAUACUUAUAUUCAUCAAAUUUAUGUAAUCAUGUGUGAUCUCUUGGCAAUUAACCUAUCUCGGUUGUGCAUGUUGAAUAUGAUGAAUGGUGACUCCAUGUAGCUUGUUCACGCUCUUUGAUGGUCAGAGAUGGUCGGGGUGACUCCGACGAUGGUUUGUGGCACCCAGAGGCUCGUCAUUGAUCCCCAUGCACUUCUAGUUCACUUCUAGAACAUCGACGUUUGGUAAAUCACUCGAAAUCCCAUUAUGUUGCAAUAAUAGAUGUUAUAUAUGCAAUUAUGGUACAUGUAGAGUGUUGUGACGCUUUUCACGCCAUAGGAUGUGUUGGGAAACAAUGUUUAGUAGUUUUGGAUGUCCAGACCAAUCGUUCGAGGUAUGAAAACCUUAUAGGGCUGAAAUAGUGCGAAUUGACACUAGUUGAGGCUUAAUUAGAUCAUUAUCGCACAUUUCGGUUCUGAUUUCUUGGGAUCGGAGCUAUUGUUGUCCAAUGUGUUUAGCGAGCCUCGUUGGCUGGUUUGGCCUCAUGUUUUGUGCCUAACAUGACAGGGAGCGUGUGGUGGGUGGUUCAGAUACCGAAAUAGGCAUCGCGAGACCCACUUUGAGCCACUUUUGGUACUUCGGCCUCUGUUUUGGUGCGUUUUGUUUGCGGCUGUUCCAACACCUAAAUAAGGGUGUUUGGGGACAGCGAGUAUGAGUUAGAGAUGUUUGAUGUGAGUCGGAACACUUCAUGAUCGAAGUGACAUUCCAGCAGGUUUUUACGGAAGUCGAUGGAUUCAGGAGAUCGGUAAAAAUAUUCGAUGUUACAUUUGUGUCGUGGUGCAUUGUGGGUGACUUUAUGUCACCAACUAGUGAUAUUGCAACAUUGUGAGCAUUGUAGGGCCAAUUGUAUAGUGGAUGCGUAGUUUGACACCAAAGUGGUGUUUGGAUCAUCAUAAUGAUACCUACAGGUUCGAUUGUGGCCUUGUACGAUGGUUGUCAUUCAGUUUGGCGAGCACUUAGUGUGCGGUCGUCUCAUCACCUAAAGUGGUACGUUUUGAGAUAGUGUAUGCACUGUUGUGACUCCCUAUAGAGAGUCGGUUAUCGUUGGGUUUAGUUCGGUAAGCCGGUUUGUGGAAUUGAUGUUCCCGUCACGCCAUGGUAUACAUGGUAUAGGUUAAACGUGUCGGAUUGAUAUAGAUAACACGUAGGAUACUCGUUCAGGCAUUUGGUGACUGUAUCUUCUCUACAGGUGACAAUUAGAUACAUCGGUCGAGUCAAAGAAUCAUAUACUUGAUAAGUUGGGUGCUUCAUUCCGAAGUCGGUAAAGUUGUAUCAUACUCGGUUUCCCCCUUGUUUGAUCUAUUCUAUGCUGGUUGAGUAGAACAACUUCUAUUGACUUCAUAUUAGUACAUGCUUUUACUCUACAUGCCUAUUGAGUGUAUGUUGGUUAUCGUAUUAAUGCGUAGUUCCUUGAUUGAUCUCUUUUAUAUAGCUUGUGUGUGACAUGUAGAGUAGGUGGUGAUCUGGGAAGAUAUCCACCUAUUUAUGAUAGGAUCUGAUAGAUCAGUGUUUACUCCUUGUUGAGUUAUGAUCAUAUUAGUCGGUUGAUUUAUUUUCAGUGAGAUUGACUUAACUGAUUGGCGUCUACUCCCUCAGAUUUAACCUAGGGGUCGGAUGACGUAUUCCAUCAUGAUUGGGUCUUUAGCAUGCUCACCUCUAUUACUUGCAUUAUUUUUAUCUUCCAUAUAUACUCAUGUAGUGUAGCAUGCUAGUCAACCCGGAGAGUUUGAUUUCCAAUGUCGUCGUUGACAUCCCUUGGGAGUACCUCUUGGCUUCUUUUGUCGCCUAUGGGUAGUGAUUUUACUGUUGAGUCUAGAUUAUUGGAGCUUUGAGCAUACACAUAUGACUAUAGCUUGUAUGGCACUGAAGGAGUCUUAGACAAGGUUCCUAACUCAGGGUUCUUCAGUUGCCAGCCUAGUGGGAGGUGAUGUUUCAUAGAUAGGGUUCAUCACCUUGAGUUCUCACCCCCAGACUUGAUAUACACUGCGUUUAGACAGAAUUAGCGACUUUGGGUGCAGGUUGAUGUGUCCCUCCGGAGUGGUACUUGAUUUUUGGUCUUCGCGACCUAGUGGGCAAGCUUAGGCCGAGUAUUUAUGACUGGCCACGGUAAUUGGUAUACCUUGGACUACUCACACGUCCAGUUGAUACGUAGUAUCUCCAUUUGAGUUAUGCAUGGUAUCUGGUAGCUAUCUAGCUUACAAUAGUGGCAUCCAUCGUUUAGUGGGUUAUAAUAUUUGUUAUUCAUCAUCUCGCUACUGUAGUUGGUGUUCCUAUUAUGUUGGCAAAUGACUUUGUUUACAGUAGCAGUAUCCCUUGUAUGUUUAUUCAUGACAGUUACUCACUAAUCUUCCUUGCAACGGUGGUUGAUUGGGUACCUCACGGUUAGUAUCUUGAUUCAUGUUACAGUAGCGACAUUAUUUUGUAUUCUGGUUCAUGACAUUUAUCUAUCUAUCUAUGAUGCACUAUAGUUGACUAUUUCAUUUAUGCUCUUAUCUGUUUGUCGUACUCCCUUCUUUGCCAGUGAGUGCAGCUUGCCCUCGUCGGCUGGUUGCCCCCACUGGAAAGCAUAUUUAUAUGUUUCUUACCCCACUAUUUUUACAGGUGUUAUUGACAGUGUGGGUCGGGGCGCAAUGUGAGGAUGUUGUAGUUAGCGCCUAGAUAGUUCGUGCUGUGGAUUUCGAUUCCUAGUAUCUCCUACUUCAUUCUGUUGCUAUUAUGUAGGGAUUUAUGUGAUUGUGAUUUAAGUUUAGUUGCAUUUAGGUUUUCCUAUUUUAGUGGUUUAGUGGAUUCUGAAUUAUAGUUUUGAAUUUAUUAGUAGUUAUAUAAUUAAACUAUCUUGUUCUAAUUGCUUGUGGUUAUGUUUCUGUGCUCCUACGCCGUGCAUGUACAAAGGAGACUUUGUCCCCGUAGACGGAGAACACUCUGUGCGUGUGGCGGGUUUGCGCGUCUCAAGCAAGGUUUAUAAAAAAGAAUUAUACGCUUUUUCGCAAAUCUGUUUUCACAUUGGAAGGUUUCUCAAAAUUAGCUUUCCAAAAAGAGUCUAAAGCGUGAUAGCCAUCAUGAAUGCCACGGGUGGCACCAUGUCAUCCUCAUAACAUGCAAAUACGAACCCACGUCAUCAAUCCGACGACUAUCCAGCUACGGAAGGAUUUGAGUUAUGAUGAGGCUUCGUAUGUGAAGGUACAGAGCAAAAAUCACGAGGAGCGUGAGACUACGUGGGAGCUUGAGUUUGUUAUGCAGGAGCGAUAUCCGCAGUUGUUUGUGGGGGAAAUAUAGUCAAGUUUCGGAAACGAAACUUCUUGUAAGGGGGGAUGAUGUAAUAUCCGAAAUUUUUGCAUUAAGGGAAUUAAGGUUCGAAGCCUAGGAUUCUUCUAGCUUCUCUAGUUCCUAACCGGAUCUGGUUGCUUACAAAGACUCUAUGUCUCAAAAGAGCCAAAUCGACCCAUGAUGGUUUCCAAACAACUCCAUAAACGAUUCAAUAGAUGAGGGGAGUGUUCCGAGUGUGUAUUUUCUUGGUUCAAAUAAACCUUACUACACACACUUUCCUUGAAGAACCUCAACUUCCUCGCAAACUGUUGGCGGGGCUAAAACUGGGAUGCCCAAAGCCCUCUUCCCAUACACUAAAUAUCACUACGAAGUGAAUUACCAAACCCAACACAAAACUAUGUCCUACCUUUCCACUAUCGAAUACGGAGAGCGGUUGACUUCCUAAUACUUUUCUUGAUAGGCUGCGUACUAAACCUUAACCGCCGGCAUCUAAAACGAAAUUUUGAUACCGUAGUAAUAGAAAUACCGCUUGCUACAUUUCAAAUAUGCCUAGUGUUUUUAUGUUUAAAAGUGAGUCUUUCUCAACUUGAACUCCAUCGCUUCUACCAACCUCGAUGAGCUCCUGAUACUAAACUGAUAGGAGAUGACGAGUGCAUUUCGAUUACAUCACCGCCUACGGGAAUCAGCGUUUAGUUAUCUUUUAAAUCGUUACAACUAACAAUGAGUCGGUGGCAAUGAUCGUCUGAACUCUACCAACCUAAACCUCCACCAUCGUGAGCUGUGUGGAAAUUCCAAUUACAGAAACCAGCAAGUUGGAUAGAACUAUCUUUCCUAAUUUCUUUUCGUUCGGGUUCUGAACCUUAACGUUUUCUAAACUAGGUUCUAACUACUACCUGUGCGGCUAUUGAAAAUAAACCUACUAGUUUCUUACGAAACUAAAGUAUUAGCUUAAACACAUGGCCGCCUUAACCUCUAAUGCUUUCUUUAAAAUUACCUUCGAGCGGCUCGUGGGAUGUGCAAUGUACGCCCGCUGUGUUUUUACAUAUUCCUAAAUUUCAACGUUAUAACCACCGGGUCUUACUUUUUUCUACAACCUCUCAAACACCGAUGUACGGAUUGAACAGUUGUCCAUUUUUGACUCAUGGCUGAAGGGCGUCUUUUUAACGUUUCAGAUGGUUAUGAGCACACCUUUAUCCUCUUCUAGUAGUACAUGAAGCAACACCCGAACGGGGUGAGUGUUCGGCCCGUACUACCCUAAAACCACUAGCACCUAUCUAAUUGUUUUAGACGUGUAAAACAAGGAUAAGUGUAAUGAAUCUGUUCUCUCUUCGAACGUGUUCAUAUAGAACUACUCUAACACGCUGAAGUGCCUCACGGAUGUAGAUAACAUAGCCUAGCUCUAGGAUCUAAACAUAGCGUAAAAACUUUUUCAGAGGUACUCUGUAAUCUGUGAGCUGAACUAAAGUCGUGACGUAAGAUGGGAGUCUCACUACCUGUUAGCCUUGCGUGAUAAGUCUAGGACUUUCUAUACGAAUCUCGUAUACAAUACCUGAAGGUUACACCUAUCGUAGUCGUAGAUGGGUACCGCUUUAAACGAAUAUUGUUGUCAAUAGUUCGUUCAUAAUUCUAUUGCGGCAAACUUCGGGAGAUAUCUUCUUUCACGACUAGUGGAGAAGUAACCUCACUCUAUCCACUCUCUACCCAAAACCCGGGACUACACGAUGAUCUUCGGCUCCUAUUUCAAGCAGAACGAGCUCUUGCUGACUAUCGCCGAGUUUCAUCUGUCUUCUCUAUAUGUCUAUUCGCAGUUGCUCUGAACUUUAAGGUUCACCCUCUAGUACAGAAAAACUUUCAGAGUGGCUGUUUUCCUCAUUUCUCUAAACCAUAAGCUCCCUUCAACUCGGGUGUUAAAUAACCUGGAAAACUCUAAAACCUCGUACAUCCGAGCCAUCGCAUAGCCGAACGGGAUGGCGGCUUGGAUAGCCCUCAUGUGUUACACAAAGUACAAAGGUGCGAGGCUUUCAUACAAAAACUAGGUCAAGUAUAUAACCUGAGAUGAGGCCACCUGAAUGUAUUCCUAUACUGGAAACUUCUCGUGGAGCACUCCUAAAACCGAGCACUCCACUUCUUCGAGACCUUAGCACUCUAAGGAAUACACUUUCACAAAACCUCGUUAGUGCUUCUCGCGCUCUGAUGGACCCUCAACCUUUCGCAUGAAGUCCUCGCAAUAAGGGUAGAGAAAGUCUACCUAAGAACUCCAUGAACUCAAAAUCAAAACGCCUGCUUUGAGGAAAAAUCCUUCCCACUUACAUCAUGUGAUUUGAAAUCUUUUAACAUUUUAAGAUCACAUUCUUAUCAUAAAAUUUGAUAAAACCUACAAAACUCCCAAGAGACACACCAAAGACGGAUAAAGACCUCGAAUAAUCCGCGCUCUUGCCCGAUAGCUGUAGUUUUAGACGUUUCACGUCUAAAGUCAUAACUCAUGGCCAUGAUUUCCAACCAUGACCAUGGGACAUCUCACGGCUUUAUCCAACGAGGGCCCAAACUCUAAACCCCACAACUGAUGGCCAUGACUCACAACUCAUGGCCAUGACACCGUCCCAUGGUCAUGACGUAGCGUGCCCAUGGCCAUGUGGCAUAAUUUGGACUUACAGAACGCGAGCUCAAGAUAUACGAACUCCCGGCCCAUGGCUAUGAGGGUAAGCUCAUAACCAUGAGUUACGUCUUUUGACGUCAUGCACGAUAAAUAUUAAAAACUUAAAAACACCCCAGAAUUCCCUUAACAAUGUAGUACAUAUACUGAGGGGGAAAGGGGGUGUACGGAAGAAAACACGCCUCCGAACUCUCUCCACCUCCACCCAAAAAGAGGGAAAGAGAAAAAUCCUAAAGAAGAGGUUUGAGAAAAUCUAAACCCAAAACUAGAGAAAAGAAGAAAAAAACUUACCACCGAUGGAUGAACUAGGAACUUCCUCCGAACCUUCACUUCUUCUCUCGAACAAACUCCUAGAUUGAGAUUAAGAUCGAACCUAAUCUCGAAAGAAAUUCCAAUCAUGAAAAGAACGUUGUAAAUGAACACCUAAAACAUUCUAAAUACCUACUUCUGGAUCAAAACCUUUUCGAUCCUAAAUAAAACCUCAAAGAACUAAAACUUGGAAACCCCAAUUUAUUUAUUAACAUCUUGAGAGAAAAUCCAACCUAAACUUCGAAACAUCGAAGCUAAACCUGAAACCUGUUCAAGAAGAACCUAUUUCUAUAAAAAAGUGGAUAAAAUCUGAAUUAAAAACCCAUAAAGACACCCUCCAAACAAUUUUCGAACAUUGGGAGAAUCUUUAAGAGAAUCCAUGAUCUUCAAACCACCUGUUGAAGCAAGCUUCCUUGCUUUCCCAAGCUUCCCAUAAGCCACCCAAACUGGAGCGGCUUUACCCACUUGAGGGAGAUACAGAAGUUGUAAUAAAAAUCUAGAUUAAUCUACAUAUAAGUACGAUCUAUACUGUACUCUCUUAAAAACUCAUGUACGAAGUAUGUACGAUACAUAUCUUUAAAGAUACGGGAUACUUCAUCUCUGAAUGUUACACUUUUACAUAUAAUUUAUCAUAUAAUACUACUAAACGAGAAUACGUUAUUAUUUUUCGUACAAUCUCUGUAUCAAUCAAUUAAGCCUAAGCCGUUUUUAAGCCAUGCCCAUAUUAAGCCUAUUUUAAGCAGAAGAUUAAAAAUUUAAGCAACUUUUUUUUCCGAUUUUUUGCCUAAACAGUUAAUAAGCCUAUGCACUAAAUAUGUCUAUAAUAUGCAAGUGGUUAAUUUUUAAGCCCUAGUUUUUAAGCCAAUAAUUUAAUUUAAACAAAAGAAAUUUCUAAAUAUGAUAAUCAUAUUUAUAAGUAUAAAGAAUUCUUAUAUUCUUAUUUCUCGAUGUUUUAAUUCAAUUAAUUCAUUUUUUUUUUAUCGUUUGACAUAAUAUGGACUUUUAUUUAUUUAUUUAUUUCGUUUAUUCUUUAAUUCUAUCAGAUAUUUUUUAAUUUUAAAAAACUAUCUCACUAUAAAAAAAAGAAAACCCUCUCCCUUUUACUAAAAAAAAGAAAAAAGAUAAAACACGUUCCACUUGUCCUAAAAAAAAAAAAAAAAAAAAACCCGUUCGGUGCGACCUCGCGAACGCGAACGCGAGCUCACGAGCACGAGCGAGCGCUCGGCGCUCCAGGCGCCGGGUGCGCGAGCACGAGCGCUCGGCACUCCGGGCGCUGGUCGCGGUCGCGCGAGCGCGAGCGCUCGGCGCUCCGGCGCAGAAAAACCGCUCGCUUAUUAAGCCGCGCGCUUAAUAAGCGCUUAAGCAUAAAAAUGGGUUUUUAUGCGCAAAAAAAGGCUUAAAAAGCCUUUUUAUGCUUAAGUAGGCAAAUUAAGCAAAAAAGUUUUUAAGCGCUUAUUAAGCGCUUAUUAAGCGCUUAAUUGAUUGAUACCAAUCUCUACUUACAACCAAAUAGGAUAUUUAAUAUGUAUCACUUGCCUUAUUUUUUCCCAAUUGAACAUACUAUUGGUUAUAUGAACAAUAUCUGUUCUUUUACACUAUACCACGUACCAUCACUGUUUUAUACUUUGAUUCAUACAACAUGAAUUGGAUCAACUUGUUGAUCUUGAACUGUAACACUGUAUUAUAAGCUAGAGAUCUAGCGAUCAACUGUAAGGUAUAAAAUCUGUACUAUUUGCUCUAGGAAUACAACAACUAGUGCGAAAGAACGGUAACACAAGUAAACGUGUUCGAACACUCCCAGCAAAGGGAUAUUCGGCCGUGAGGCCUCAAACGGAUACGCUGUAGUACGAGCGGGCAUCCCUAACCCGUUGCUACUGAUGAUGCCCCGGUAAUCCGUGCCACGUUCGGCCCUGAAAUAGAACGCACACACACACACAAACAUAUGGAUACUUACACUUAAUUUUUUUUUUUCGGCAUGCCAUAGUAUACGAUAUGCCUACCUCGAUGAAAUUAAUUCCACGGUACGUGGAAUUAAUUUCACUAAGUAUUACCAUAAACUACGUAUAUGUAUAGCUCUAGUUAGAGAGAAGCUGAAGAGAAGGUGCACACACAAAGAUAAGCUAGUUUAAGAGAUGAGAAGUAGCUAAUCACUUAGUACUUCCCUAACGAUUGUGGCGGGUCUACCAGGCACUGAGUAGAUCAAACACUCUACUUUUAGCUAGCCCAUAUGCGGCUAAGGCACAUCUGUGCGUAUAUCCGGCCUGUGCACACGCCGAUAUGAUCUUGGAGUUUCGUUACUAACUUUGAAUGUUAUGGUUGGUAUGUCAUUAAGUUCUCUAGAAAAGACCAGGCGCUAUCCUAUAGAUUUGUAUUUCUCAAAAGCAAAUCUAAUUUAAAAACAUAUCAUUGUACUCUUACUAAGCGGCCGUUACCAAACUAAAUAACUAAAAGUCAAUAGUAUAUACUAUACAUAAACCAAAAGCUUUUUAAAAUUUUACGUUUUAAUAGAAGGCGAUGCAAAAAGACUACACGGUCAAUUAAAGAAUAUCUCUCGUGUGUGCACGGGAGAGGGAUGAUGGGAGAAAAUGUGUCCAAGAAUUAGCGCUCUUAGAAUGCGAAUUCAUGAUUAGAUCCUCCUAAAACUGAGAUUCGUUGUGGUUUUGGAAGCUUUUGACCCUUCGUCUUCCUAGAGAUCGAGGGGGUAUACCAGUUUGAACUUAUAACGCCCUAUAUAAACUUCAUCGAUCAUUGAAUGUCGAGAUAACAGCCACCGCUGAGGUCGCUCCUGCUUGUAGUCCUUCUUUCACUACUAUUUGAGCUCCUGCUCUCUAACCUGCAACCUGGGGCAGCCCUAACAGGGCUUCUUCGCCAACACGGGCGACGGCUUGUUGUUUGCGUGGCAAGGCGAUCGCUCACAGCUCGGGUGAUCGACCCGAUACUACAUGUAACCGUGGACGUAGUCAACUUUCGUUAGCGUUUCACUAAUGUUGAACCAACAACUUUCUCAUUCGUUACAAGAUCACGUCGUAUAAUGUUGUUUUUACGACAUAUCGCUAUGAAAAUUUAUAGCCAUGUCCAGUGUUAUGAUGACCGAUUUAAUGGUUAUGAAAAAUUUUCACAACGAUAUACACCCCAGCGAUAUACAUUCCGGCGGAACUACGAACCGUCAGUGAGGAUGUUCCUGAACACCGCCUCCCUGUGCACCACUAGCAUCGAGAGAUGCCAGGGACGCUCUAUGAGUGCCGGCUUGAGGUCGGCGGCCUUGGGAUGGAGCAGCUAACGCCGCCGUCUCCUCCUCUUCCUCUCUACCGUUAGUUAAAAAGAAAAAAAAAAGAAAAAAUAAACAUUAGCCCGGUUCAGCCGAUUCACCUUAACCAACUCAUCUCCUUAAAAAAUAAAGAAUAACCUAACCCAAAAUAUAAAUCCGGAAUCAUCUAAAAAAAUUUUUCAAAUUCGUAUUUACUCUGUAAAUGUGUUUUCUUAGGGUUUUUAUACAGGGAUAUUAGAUUAAGACAACAUCAUAGUGGUCUAGAUUCUGCGCGGUAAAAUUUGUUGAAAAGAUAAUCUUUUUCAUUUUGAGUUUUAAAACAUUUUUAUAAAUAUACUUAUACAAUAUAUCUUUACAUCCUAUUUAAUUGGACAAAGGUACCUUUGGAAGGCGUUCUUCGUUUCCGCUAUCAAUAUCGUCCCAACUAUACCCGCGGUCUAUACACGGGCUGUCUCAUGUGGUGCUGGUACUGCCACUCGGGGGUCUGCCACGUAUGUGGCCCUUUUCAGUGCCGUGGGGGGAACGAGUUUAGGUGCCGGUGGUGCGGCGUGGGCCGCUUUUAGUUCUUUAUACAUGGUUCAUAGAGGCGUUACUAGACGUUUUUUUUUUUUUUUUGUCGCUUUUUUUUCUCUUGUUUACUAAUUUAUUAAAAUUUCUUUACUGUUUGUUUUAUAAUUUUUGUAUAUUUUAUAUAUUUUAUUUUACAGUUGGCAUUACCACUAUAUAUUUAUUUCCUUUUAAAAUGAGGAUGUGGGGAAAGCCCCACAUCCUAUAUGUGCGCUGGGUAAGUUCUCAUUUUACAUGAGGCGAUCAGUGUAGUUACACUGAUCGCCUCAUGUAAGAUUAAAACCUACUUACCUUACAUAUAGUACACUGAUCGCUUCAUGUAGGGUAAGAACCUACCUACCUCACAUAUAGGAUUUGGGAAAACCCCCGCAUCCUGAUCGUAACGAGUGUGUAUUUACACGGUUAUCGGCUUACACUACCAAAAUAAACGACCGGUUGACGGAUAAGAACACAAUGAACUUACGUGAAAUGAGAGCCAAACCGAACCACACGCCAUAAAAACUAACAAAGUUGUAUUAGUCUUUAAUGUAAAAAGUUCUUAGUCUAAUACUGAUUAUAAUAUAAUCCAAACUAACCCAUAAUAUUAUUAAAUUAUUGCCUAAUGACGUGUAUAUUCUAAUGGCAUAAACUAAACAGAAUAUAUAAAAUAAUUAAUACUGUCAUUUCAAAUAAACGUGCGUUUAAGUGAACUUUAAACUUACAUUUAAAAUACAUAUUAAAAUUUAAGUUUAAAAUUUAAAUUUUUAUUUACAACCAAGUUAAAAAUCUAAGUUCAAGAUUAAAACUCUAUCUUAAAAUUUAAAUUUAAAAAAUAAAACUUUAGUUUGAUACUUAAGUUUAAGAUUUAAGUUUAAGUUUUUAAUUCAAGUUAUAGUUUAAGUUUAAAGUUUAAAUUUAAAUAUAAAAUUUAAACUUAAGUCUAAAAGUUAAGUUACAAGUUUUAGUUUAAAUGUAACUAAAACCCAAGUUUGAAUCUAUAGAAUAUAUUUACUCUUUAAUUUAAAACUUAAAAGAAAACUUAAAUUUAAACUCCAUUAACCUCCCACCCCUCUCUCUGGAAACCUUAAAAAGGAUUCAACGCCUAAUGGGUGUUAAUCCGGUACAAACCUACGUAUCAAUUUUUUGAGGUACCUUAAAAAUAAGAUACCAAAACCAGAUUUACUUUAUGCCUUAGGACAUUGAUGUUUUUUUAAGGUGUCGAAGUAAAAAUUCGACAAACCUAUGUAUAGUAUGAUAAGGUGUCAUAAAUAUUGUUAAUUUAAAGAUUUUAAAAUAUUAAGUUUUAAGUUUUGAGUUUUAAGUUUUAAGUUUUAAGUUUUAAAUUUUUAUUUUAAAAUUUUUAAUUUUUAUUUUUAAGUUUUAUAUUUUAAUUUUAAAUUUUAAAUUUUAAAUUUUUCAUUUAAUCUAAAAUACAAAAUUUAAACUUUAAACUUUAAACCUUAAACUUUAAAGUUUAAACUUUAAACUUUGAAAUUUUAAAUUUUGAAUUUCAUAUGGUAAAUUUGAAAUUUAAAACUUUAAUUUUUUUAGAUAUUAAUUUUAAAAUUUAAAGUUUAAAUUAUUAAAUAUUUAAAUGUAUAAAUAUUUAAAUUUUAAAUUUUAAAUUCAAAUUUAAAUUUAAAACUUCUAACUUUUAAUUUUUAAUUUUUAUUUUAAUUUUAAACUUUAAACUUUAAACUUUAAACUCGAAAAACUUUAAACUUUAAACUUUAAACUUGAAAAACUUUAAACUUUAAACUUUCAACUUUAAACUUUCAACUUUAAACUUUAAACUUUAAACUUUAAACUUAAAACUUAAACUUAAAACUUAAAACUUUAAACUUGAAAAACUUUAAACUUUAAACUUUAAACUUUAAACUUUAAACUUUAAACUUUAAACUUUCAACUUUCAACUUUCAACUUUAAACUUUAAACUUUUAACUUUAAAUUUUAAACUUGAAAAACUUUAAACUUUAAACUUUAAACUUUAAACUUUAAACUUUAAACUUUAAACUUUAAACUUUAAACUUUAAAACUUUAAACUUCAAAAACUUUAAACUUUAAAUUUUAAAUUUUAAACUUCAAAAACUUUAAAUUUUAAACUUUAAACUUUAAAUUUUAAAUUUUAAAUUUUAGUUUUAAUUUAAACUUAAAAUUUUAAAAUUUUAAACUUUAGAUUUUAAAAUACAACUUUAAAUUUUAAAUUUUUAACUAUAUAGAAAGCCUCGGGUUUUACCACCUUAAAAAAAGGAAACCAAUUUCACCUAACAUUCAAAUGAGGUAAAAAACCUCAUAUCAUAUUGAUAUGAGGUUUUUAAUGCAGUAAAAAAAAAGAAGGUUUGCGAAGUAUCCUAAUAAAAGGAUGGUCGCAUCGUAUCAAAUUGAUACGAUGCAAAAAUCUCCAUAGGUUUGCCCCGGAAUCAUUACGUUCUACGGGUGAGGGAGAAGGCAUUUAAAAAAACCCAUUAGAAUAUGACCACCAUUAGUUCAUCUUAAUAUAUACCCUACUUAGAGUGUGUUAUUAAAUUUUUCUGAGUAUAAUCGAAAAGUGAUUAGGCUUUGUUCACCUAUGUGUUCUUCUCAGGAAAAACCGUGAUAGACUUCAUUUUUCUUUACGAUUCAAAUGUAAUUUUUUCCUGAACAUUUUAGAUAUUAGGAAGUAGGUCGUUAAAAUUCUAAAUGAUUAAGAAAAAAUAAAAAUCAAAUAAAUUUUCUUCUUCUCAGUAUUCUGAAUGUCUCUUUACCACUUAAAACCUACUCUACGUACCGACAUCCAAAUUAAAUGUUGAGUAAAACCUAACAGUCUGGUCCGUCACGAUAAAUUAUUUUAUAAUAGACUUUCGAUAAUAUAAACCAAGUUCCAAGUACCAAGUGGUUUGUCACAAUAAAUCUCGGACAAACUAAGUAUUAAAAUAUUAUAAAAUUAUUAAAUAAUAAAUAAAUUAAUUUUUAUAAAUUUAAUAAUAUUAAGUUAAAUUCAACCUUUCAAUAAUUGGCACACUCACUUUAUCAUUUUAUAAAAUAUUUAAAAUCCAUCAUCUUUCUCAUUUAAUUUAAUAAUAUCUCUGAUAAUUUUUGUGUGAUUAAGAAUUAUUGUAAAGUUAAAUUUACCAAACUAUUCAAUUAUUAUUUAAACAGUAAAGUUUAUAUUUUAUAUAUUUAAUAUUUAGAACUAUUCAAACACCGUUUGGGUAGACUUGAAUGAAAACAAUUUUAAGUCUUCUCAGGCUUUGAAUUCAAAGAUUAAAAAAAUUUUCUUGUGUUUCUACUUCUACUAUCAAUUACCCACCUCUCUCUCUCUCUCUCUCUAGUUCUUCACGAAGUGGGUGGAAAACAUACUUUACAUGUCUCUAAGGACUCGUUGUAGGAAGCGAAAACCUUUAGAGUAAACAUUAGAGGAGAGGAGGAGAGCGAAGGAGGUAUCGAGAGAGAGAGAGAGAGAGAGAGAGAGAGAGAGAUGGUGGGUUUCUUUCACUCUCUGUGAUUUUUCUCCUAGAUCGGUUUUUCUCGUUGAGGUUCCCAUUCCCUUUUCGGAGUUUGAACCCAAAGAUAAAUAUAAC
This 76133-nucleotide long non-coding RNA is filed under the name Ananas comosus (pineapple). RNAcentral describes it as "long non-coding RNA (ACOM_LNC011952)". Lineage: Eukaryota; Viridiplantae; Streptophyta; Magnoliopsida; Poales; Bromeliaceae. The record is from RNAcentral.